Molecule: long non-coding RNA, 72579 nt
Filed under: Vitis vinifera (wine grape)
Lineage: Eukaryota; Viridiplantae; Streptophyta; Magnoliopsida; Vitales; Vitaceae
Description: long non-coding RNA (VVIN_LNC003079)
Source: RNAcentral
CUGAAGAAGUUGUUUCUUCGCCUUCAGGCAAUGCUAUGUAGCUUUCUGGGCUUUCAGGCAAUGCUAAGUGGCUUUCCACAGCUGAGUCUUCCUUGUUUUCAUCAGCACUCCAUGCUGCUCCAACAAUGGAGUUGUCAUCGUUGUUUUCAUUGCCACUCGAUGCUGCAGAAACAGUGGAGGUAGUGAUGGAGAGUAUGAAGAGGAGUUUUAGCAGCUUCAUGGCCAUGAAUGAAGAGAAGCUGUGAAGAGCUGGGUAGGGAAGAGGAAGUGGUGAAGCAAUAUUGAUAGGAGAUGGGUUUUUAUACUGAAAUAUGUGGGAAAAACGUUUUGUUCUGUCUCGGUAGCUUCAAUUCAUCGGACGACUUACGAAACACAGAAUAUCUGGCCCAUAAGAAGAAACCGAUUGAUUUGAAAGAAAGAAAAUUAGAAGCUUAGGUUGCGUUUGUUUUUUUAGCUUUUUGUUAAAAACUAUUUAAUUUUAGAAUUUACGUUGUUUGUUUUUUUACUUUUUCAUGACUUAUUAUAAACUUUUUACUAAAUAGAAAAAAUCAGAAUAUGUGAUUUUUUUUAAAUAGAAAAAAUAACACAAUAUUUUUUUUAUUUUUUAAUACUUAAUAGAAAUAAAAUACUAUAAAAACAAACAACUUAAUAUUUAAUACUAUUAAGUAUUAAGUUUCUAUUUAAAAUUAAGUGAAAAAACAAAUACCAUCUUAGUGUUUCUGUACCCACGUGUAGCCAAUAAUUUUGAUCUGUAAAUUAUUUUAAGUUAUAACAUGUUUUUCUCUCAUCCUUACCGGCUACACGUGGAUACAGAAACACUAAGCUUCUAAUUUUCUUUCUUUUCAAUCAAUCGGUUUCUUCUUAUGGGCCCACGUAUUCAGUGUUUCGUAAGUAGUCUGAUGAAUUGAAGCUACCGAGAAAAAACAAAAGGUUUUCACCACAUAUUUCAGUAUAAAAACCCAUCUCCUAUCAAUAUUGCUUCACCACUUCCUCUUCCCUACCCAGCUCUUCACAGCUUCUCGUCAUUCAUGGCCAUGAAGCUGCUAAAACUCCUCUUCAUACUCUUCAUCACCACCUCCACUGUUUCUGCAGCAUCGAGUGGCAAUGAAAACAACGAAGACAACUCCAUUGUUGGAGCAGCAUGGAGUGCUGAUGAAAACAAGGAAGACUCAGCUGUGGAAAGCCACUUAGCAUUGCCUGGAAGCCCAGAAAGCUACAUAGCAUUGCCUGAAGGCGAAGAAACAACUUCUUCAGAUGGGACUAGUGACUUCAUGUUUCAGAACAAGCACUUGACCUGUGAUGAGUUUCCACCGCUUUGUCGUCGGAAGUCCAGCCCUGGUCCAGAUUGCUGCAAGAAGAAAUGCGUAAACAUAGGGAAGGAUCCAAAUAACUGUGGAAAGUGCGGCCGCAAGUGCAAACACGGCGAUAUCUGCUGCCGCGGGCACUGCGUGAACCCCUCUGUCGAUCCAUUGAACUGCGGUGGGUGCGGCAAGAAGUGCAAGAAGUGGGAGACAUGUCUUUACGGGAUGUGCAGUUAUGCAUGAUUUUAUCGCUACUAAGCUUGAGUUUCUUAUUGAUUCAUAAAUGGCUUGUAUUACUUCUCAGUGAAAACAGGAUUGAUCACUAUGUAUCAUGCCUAUUAAGGCGCUCAUACCUCAUCUCCAUUGAUGAUAAAGUUCAAUUCAGUACAUUUCUCACUGAUAUAACCUGCAAAAUCCUUGAUUUAGAGGGGUGUUUGUUUUAUUUUUGGAUUUUUACAAUUUAUUUUGAGAAUUUAAUUUAUUUGAUUUUCUAUUUUUUUUUAUGAUUUAUUAUAAAUUUUUUAUUGAAAAAAAAAAUCAAAAUAUUUCACCUAUUCUAAAUAGAAAAAAUAACAUAUUAUUUUUUUUAAAUAUUUUUUAGCACUUAAUAAAAUAAAAUACUAUAAAAAUAAACAACUUAAUACUUAAUCAUUUUAAGUAUUAAAGUUUUAUUUAGAAUUAAGUAAAAAAAACAAACACCAUUUUAAUAUGGGUAUGAGACGUGCAAAUAUGCUUAAUCACUAUGAAACAUUUGUGACAAUGAUUAGAUAUUUUGGUGUUUGGACAGUUGGCAUGCAUAAAUAGCCCGAGUCUACCAUAAACGUGAGCAUAUAUAUAAUAAUUCUAGAUUUACACUUAUAUAAUCUUGAGUUGUCUAAAUAUUACACAGAUCGAGGGUUAAAAAAACAUAAGAGUUCCUAAAAGUUAUGGCAGCAGCAUCGUAUCAAUAUACUUAGGAGAAGAUUAAGUAUGUGACAUUUAAACUCUGAGGAUUAGAAAUAAGGUAAAAUAUAAAAUAAAAUAAAAUAAAAAUUUAUAUAUUUUUAAAUUACUUAAUUUUUAUAAAAAAAAUUAAUAAGUUUAAAAUAGCAUAUAAGAAUAAUUUAUUAAUUUUGUAUCCAAUUUUAAUUUUUCUUUAUUUCUUCAUUUCUUCUAUUAUUUUUCUCCACUUUAUUUUUUUAUUUGCAUUUUCCUUAAAAAAUUUUUAGAACCAAGCAUAAUGUAGGAUCCAUAGUCUUUAUUGGUAAAAAACCAUCGUAUGUAGGGAUCUUCUUUGAGAUACUAAAAAGGAAAAAGAAAAGGAUUCUUAUGCUAUAAUUAGCAAAGGGUUAAAUUAAUUAGUACCGACGUAUUAUCAAAUGAGAUAUUGACACGUGUAAAGGUUAUAAUAAAAAUUUAAACAAAACCUAUGAAAAUGAAAGGUCAAAAUCUCGUUUUGCACGUUCAACGGUCCAAAGGAAUUCUUAGGAACCCACCCAUGCGGUACAUUAAAAUUCUCCUGCGGCGAAUGAAAGUGAAAGGAGUCAAAAACAACUUAUGGAAGCCAAGGUGCAGAGUAUAAAGCAAUUGCCUCGUUGUUGAAGAAAGCAGAUCUCGUAGCCAGGCACACACCUCUCAUGAAUUCAAGCUCAAGUUUCUGUGCCCACAGGCUUUGUUAAGAAGGGUUAUACUAUAGUAGUAGUAGUGGAGGGAAUAAUUAUAUUUUGGACGUACGUAUUCCACCUAGACGAAUCUAUAAUAUAUAUAUAUAUAUAUAUAUAUAUGAUAUAUUUUUAUAAUAUGCUUAAAAAUGUGUGAAAUUGAAGGUUCAAGUGUUGUGAUAGAGAAUCCUUGUCGAUUUAAAUGUCACAUUUAUUAAAAUAGAGAAUAGAGACAAUUAAAUGACAUGGACUAACUUGUCAGAAAUUUCCAUUAGAAUUGUUCCACUAUGCCAAUUUUAUUUAAAAUUAAUUUUACAGGUUAUUAAAAUAGUAUUAUAUAUAUAUAUAUAUAUAUAUAUAUAUAUACACACACAUAUAUUAAACAAGAUUUUUUUUGAGGAAUUUAAAAUAAAAUUUAUAUAUUAAACAAGAUUUUCCUCUUUAUAUUAAUGUUUUUUAAAAUAAUACUAAAUCAACCCUUCUCUUUGAAUUUUGCAGAGGCUAACUGUGUUUGGAUCUCAAAAACUAGUACGAAAAAGAGUGUGAAACAAUCUCAAAUUAUUUUGUUUGGCUUAUUCUCGAAAAAGCCAAAGAAAAUAAAAUAUUCAUGGGAAAAAAUUAUGAAUUUUAGAUUUUUGCAUGUAGGGAAGAAAAACAAAUUCAGACAAAAAGUUCAAGUAUAUAACUCAAAAUUUUUACAACCCAAUGGAGCCUAAAUGAAUGGGGAACCAUUCAAAUAAUAGGCAUAUUUGAUAAUAUUUUUAAAAAUGGUUUUAAAAAAUAGUUUUGUAGAGAAUGAAUAUGAAAACAAAAUUUUAUUUGAAAAUUUAGAUAUGAAAAAUGAUUUUUUCAACUUAAUCAUUAUGAAUGUAUUGAAUAUUUAUAUACAAUAUAUAUGUUCUUCAUAUAUUCUCCAUAUUGAAAAACAUUUUAAAAAGUUUGUAUCAAGUUGCAAACUAUCAUGAACUAUCAUGUGACACACACAUGUAUAAAAUCCCGAUUGGAUCUUAAUGAAUAAUCUCAUAAUCACCUUGGGAUAAGAAUAUAUAUAUAUGAUUAUCUGGGUCAUGUGAUAGUUUGUAACUUGGUUCAAAUUUUCAAGUAUUUUAAAAUUUAUAAAAUAAUUUUGUAAAUUUAAAAUUUUAAAAACACUUGAAAAUCCGAAUUCUAUAAAUUUAAAAACACUUGAAAAUUGAAAUCAAGUUACAAACUAUCACAUGACUCAAAUAAUAUAAGUAUUCUUUUAUCCCAAAGUGAUUAUAGGUCAUUCAUUCAGAUCCAAUCCGGGUUGGGAAUGAAUUUUGAUACAAUUUUUAAUUAUCACAUGACUUUAUCACAAUUAUUUUUAGAUUUGAAGAUGAUUGGGGGGUCAUUAAUUUGCUCAAAUCCUAAUUAAGAUUAGGAAUUGAUUUUAAAUUGAUUUUAAUGUCAUUUGUAAAUACAUAUAUGCAUCAUUUUUGGAUCCCAAGGUAAUUGUGAGGUCAUUCACUUGUAUCCUAAUAAAAAAAUAGGAACUCAUUUGAUACCAUUUAUAGUGAAUCAUUCUUGUCUAAUUAAACAUUAUUUGCUAUUCUCAUGAUUUUAAAAUCAGUAUAUAUCAGAAUUAUCAUUGAACUUCAUCUUAAAAACUUUAGCUUUGUAAAUAGGGAUGACAAUGGGGUGAGUUUUUUCGGGUACCCGUCUCAUCCCGUCCAUAAUGGGACGGGGUUCAAUUUUAAUAAAUGAGUUUAGGAGGUGUUUGAAAAUUCUUUUUAAAACCCGGGAUAGGUUCAGGUAUUGCCUCAUCCUGCCCGUCCCGCCUUGAUUAUAUAUAAAAUUAAUUUAAUUUAAUUUUUAUUUUACUAUUUUUAAUAUAUAGAUAAUAAAAAUCAUUUUUAAUAAAAUAAAUUAUAAAAAUGUAAUAAUUUAAUUAUUUAUAAAUACAUUUAUUUUAAUGUAAUUAAAAAUUUUAAAAGUAAUUUUAAAAAAAUAAAAUUCAGAAAAAAAGUUAAACGGGAUAGGACGAGUAUAAGAAUUUAUGAGUUUAAGACCAAAAUAAUUUAUUUGUAAAAAAAAAUGAUAAGAAUAGUAUCCAUUUCAAAAUAUUUGUCAAAGUAGUCUUCUUUAUUCACGUAAGCAUCCACAUGGAUUUUAAGUGUAAAAAACUACUGUUGGUGACUAUGGUUUUAAAACUUACAGAAAUAUCCUUAAAACCACAAUUACAAACUGUGGUUUUAUAAUUUCUAUUAGAACCACAGUUACUAACUGUGGUUUUGAAAGAAGUAUCCUUAAAACCACAGUUAUAAACUGUGGUUUUAUAAUUUCCCUUAAAACCACAGUUAGUAAUUGUGGUUUUACAAUUAUUUUUUAUCCGCAUCUAUUUUAAUGGUGUUAUAAUUUUAAUAUUAUUUUUAAUUUUUUUUUAUCAAAACAACCAUAAAACCACAGUUAGUAAUUGUGGUUUUACAAUUAUUUUCAAUUCGUAUUUAUUUUAAUGGUGUUGUAAUUUUAAUAUUAUUUUUAAAAUAUUUUUUUAUCAAAAUAACCAUAAAACCACAGUUAGUAACUAUGGUUUUACAAUCCGCAGGUGUUGUAAUUUUAAUAUUAUUUUUAAAAUAUUUUUUUAUUAAAAUAUCCAUAAAACCAUAGUUACUAACUGUGGUUUUAAAAGAAGUAUCCUUAAAACCACAUUUAGUAACUGUGGUUUUACAAUUAUUUUCAAUCCGCGUCUAUUUUAAUGGUGUUGUAAUUUUAAUAUUAUUUUUAAAAUAUUAUUUUAUCAAAAUACCCAUAAAACCACAGUUACUAACUGUGGUUUUAAAAAAAGUAUCCUUAAAACCACAGUUACAAACUGUGGUUUUACAAUUUCCCUUAAAACCACAGUUAGUAAUUGUGGUUUUACAAUUAUUUUUAAUUCACACCUGUUUUAAUGGUGUUGUAAUUUUAAUAUUAUUUUUAAAAUAUUUUUUUUAUCAAAACAACCAUAAAACCAUAGUUAGUAACUGUGGUUUUACAAUUAUUUUCAAUCCGCUUCUUCACAUAUGAACUAAAGAAAAUUAUUUAUUCAUAUUAUUUUUAAAUUUUAAAAUAUCUAAAGAAAUUGUUUAUAUUAUUUUAAAAUUUUAUAUUUUCAUAUGAAAAUUAAUGCCAAUGAUUAUGAUUUUAGGUUAUUUAUUAUUAAGUAUGAUUUGAACUUAUGUCUUGGUUAAAAUGUAUAAUUUUUUAAUUAUAUGAAAGAAAAAUAAGUAAUGGUUGUAAUAGUUUAUUUAGUUAGAAUUUCUUUCAUUUAAACUUUAGGAUGCAUUUGAGUUUUAUUUGUUUAAAUUAUCAAGGAAACAUGUGAAUAACAUAACAUCACUAAUUUGAAUUAACACUUUAUAUAACCUUAAAUGUAUAAACCAAAGUAUAAUAGUUUUACAAACAUGAAAAAAGAUCUCAAUGUGUCCCACAUGAUGGAAUCUUUCUCUUUCGUUGUGAACAUCUACGGUAGAUGGCCAUAUUUGUUGUAUCCAUCUGUGCUAUCUGAAAAGUCUCCAUCUCUAUAGAUUGUGACACGUCAUCUACAUGAGCUGUCGAGUUAGAUGGAACUAAUGGAGGUAGAACUCGACGUACACGUGGAGCUCGAUGUCCUCUAGGUACCCGUACAUGUAAUCGUGCGGCAUGAGCUGUCCCCUAAAGAAAAGGUAGAGGUGUAAUGGACUCUGUAACAGGUGGAGGUGCAAUAGACUCUGUAACAGGUGAGGGUGCAAUAGACUCUGUAACAGGUGGGGGUGCAAUAGACUCUGUAAUAGGUGGGGGUGCUCCAAUGAUAUAGAUGGUUGAAUAGGGGUAAGGGUAGAUGGUAUGGUAGUCUCGGGUCGAGAUGAAUGGGCUGGUAUGGAUACAUCAAGGGGAGAAAGUGGUGACUCUAAUGAUGCAGAUGGCUGAAAUAAAGGAAAGGUAGAUGUGACUGGUGGAUGUGAGGGUUGUACCAAAGUAGAUGCCAAAGGUACAUGUCGGUGACCAGCUCGACGAUCACCUCUCCCCCGACCUCUAAUGGGUGGUACCCUAAUAGGCGUAAUCAAUGAUGGUGGUCUCAUGGAUGACCCUGAAGAUGUGGAUGGCUCAUGUGUCGAGUGUACGCGAUGGUCCUCUCCUAUAGCACGUAAAACAUCAAUAGUAAUUCGGUGAGUUUCCUAUAAAUCAUUUGAAAUAGCCAUAUGUGAUACGACGGUGAUCUGUAUAAGAAAAUGAAACAUGAGGCAUUUGCACAUAAUUUAAGUUUAACAUUCAUUAAAAAAUGGUUUUGUAUCUCAAAUGCUCUCACUAAUAACUCAGUGGCAGAAGCUGUACUAUGGAACCUCAUAUGAUCUCUAUGCAAAACAAAUGUGAUCAGGUGUCGCGUGAUACGUCGAUACCACUACAUAUAUGGAUCAUAAAAAGACAUGGUAGUAAUCUCAAGUGGUGCUGUCGCAAUAAGCUCAGAACGAGUAGCCCAAAGAGAAAUAUACUGAGCAUGGAAUGUGACCCAAUCGUACUGAUGUCGUCCUCGCCUAUCCACUAAAUGUUGCUCCAUAUCUAUCAAACAAGGUGGAUGUAUCCCUUGUUGCAUACGAAACUGGCGUAAAACUCGCUCUGGUCUAUGCCGCUUGAUAAUAUCAAAGCAAAUUAGAGGCAACAUAGUUCGCCAAAUUUCUUCAUCAGCCUGACAUAUAGCCGGAAGAUGUGCAAUCAAAUCUACUGUAUAUGGUUCCCAUAAUACCUGUAAUUUUUUUUUAAAAAAUAAUUAGUCACAUUAGUGGAAAAUAUUGCAAAGGUAAUCUUACGCAUCUACACUUUAGCUGAUCAUGUGUCUGGGCAUCCAAUUGAUCUCGAUAGAAUGUCAACACAUGUGGUGAUGGGUUAUGAGACCAAGACAGGGGUACUCUCCACUUAUGGCCCAAUGGAUCGAUUGGGAAUGCCUCAUCUGGCAAUAGAUGAUCAUGUAAACCAUCAACUACAUCAUCAUGUACAUGUGGGACUACUAUAGGCACAGGAGGACGACAGAAAACAGGUCGACCCACAUAAAGUCUCUCCCAUGACCACAACUACAAAAUCAGAUAACAUUAUCAAAAUUAGACAACUUACAACAAUAAUGUGAGUCAAUUAAUUAUAAUAGAUAGUUAUGUCGAAAUACUUGUAAUAGUGUGAUAGGUCCAGAAAUCUCUGUGGCACUAUCUAAACUCACACGACAUAGCUCUCUAUAUAGGUAUGCCAACACUGCACUACCCCAACUAUAGUGAGAAAUCUCAAUGAAGUCUCUCAACAGUGGAAGGUAACAUAACUGUACAUGUGUGCCAGUCUUGUUUGUAAACAAUGCUCCACCCAAUAGUGCUAAUAUGAAAGCAUGCGCAUAACGCUGUAAAAUAACAUCAUCGACCCCUGUUGGUGGAUAUGAGAACUGCUCACGCAACCAUCGUGCUGAUAUAGAUGACCUUCUAAUCUGAGAUGGGGGUGGGACGACACCUAAAAGCUCGGAACAUAGUAGUGACCAAUCUAUGUCACAUGUGCCAGUGAUAGGAGGCCCAUGAAUAUGUAAUCCUAGAAUCAUGGCUACAUCCUGUAAAGUAACAGUCAUCUCUCUAAUAGGUAAAUGAAAUGUGUGUGUCUCGGGUUGCCAUCGCUCAACAAGACUCGUGAUCAAUGGCCAAUCUAGUGAAAUGUGUCCGACACGAUAUACACCAUAAAAUCCAGAUUGCAUCACAUAUCACCGAAUACGAGGGUCCAUCUCCCACUCUCGCAUGAAUGUCCAUAAACGUUGUCGACAUGUCAAUACCUGAUUAAGCUACAAAAGAUACCAUUUCGAUUAAAUAAGAACUUAAUUAAGGUUUAUGAUUAUGUUUUUCUAUACAUCUAUAUUUAUAUAUACAUAUAUACCUGACCAGAAUCCACUAAUUGAGACCUAUGUCUGUCCUGUAGCGCUAAAAUAGAGCGAUCUAAUGAAUCUGGAUCGAAUCUGCCCUCUCUAUGCUCCAUUACUAUACUGUCAUAAUAAACUAAUGUUAAUAUUAUAAUUUAAACUAUUUAUUUGCAACCAAUAUCAAUAUCCAAGUACAAUAAUUUAAAAAAAAAUUGUCAAGCACUAAUGUUCACAUCCAAAUUUUAAAAAUUUCAUCAGAGUAUCUCUUAUAAAUAAGGUAUUCUCCAAAAUACAAACAACCUGAUUAAUCAAAAUAUUUAUUUGCAACCAAUAUCAAUAUCCAAGUACAAUAAUUUUUAAAAAAAUUAUCAAACACUAAUGUUCACAUCAAAAUAUUAAAAAUUUCGGCAUAGUAUCCCCUAUAAAUAGGGUAUUCUCCAAAAUACAAACAACCUGAUUAAUCAAAAUAUUCAUCUGCAACCAAUAUCAAUAUCCAAGUACAAUAAUGAAAAAAAAAUGUAAUAAUAUGAUGUUCGCAUCCAAAUAUUAAAAAUUUCGACAGAGUCUCCCCUAUAAAUAGGGUAUUCUCCAAAAUACAAACAACCUGAUUCAUCAAAAUAUUCAUAUUACAAUUUUGAAAUUAACAACAAAGUCUCUCUUAUAACAUAAGUAUUGUCCAAAAUACAAAUAACAUAAUAUCAACAUCCAAAGCCUAGCACCCAUCAUGAAGGCCCAACACCCAUGUUCUUAUUUGGACAAGAACGACAAUUGUGACCACUUUGUUUGCACAAACCACAUGUAACCGAGGUUUUAUCUUCUCUAACAUCCAUUUCAUCGUGCAAACGAGUAGAUUUAGGUCGUCCACCUGACACACGUUUCAUUGAAUCUGCAGGCACAAUAACUAGACCAACAUAUGGUGGCCACUUGUACUCAUUGUGUAUGGGGUUAAACAGUGGUGCCCAAGUGCUAAAGUACGAUUGUAUAGUAUAAUAAUGUUGAACAAACGAUCUAAAAUCAAUUGAACGAAAAUGACAUGCCGCUAGAAUAUGACUACAUGGGAAUCCAUAUAUGAAUGUUUUGCCACAUGUGCAUCUAUGCUCACGUAGGUUAACACGAUGUGUUCUUCCACCAGAUGAUGUCUUUUUACUACCCCUACUGGCCUUCACAUGAAACAGUCCUUGGAAGUGAUCAUACAAAACAACCUCAUGAGAACCUGCCUUAACAACAUUUGCAUUAAUCUUAGCAUCAACAUAAGGAGUGUAUUGUUCACCUGAAGCAAGUCGACUAGCACCAUGUUCUCUUCUUACAGCAAAGUAACUAUUAACUUGAUAGAAUGUCAAUUGAACAAAUGCGAUGAUAGGGAAACUUCGUGCCCUUUUAAGCACACUAUUGAACACUUCUGACAUGUUCGUAGUCAUUAUGCCAUAUCAUUGACCUCCAUCAUGUGAUAAUGCCCAUUUCUCAAAGGGAAUAGCCUCCAACCAGUUGAGUACGUCUUGAUUGAUUCUCCCAAUUGUCUCCAUAUGCAUGUUGAAUUUUUCUACCUUAGUUUCUAAGGCGGCUCUGCAUAAAAGUUGUUUCAAGCAUUUGUCCUUAAAGUGAGUCAUAAAGUUGCUAGCAAGAUGGCGCUUACAAAUUCGAUGAUAUGCAUUUGGCUCAGACCAACCAAGAUAAACAUUAGCAAACGCAGCCAUAAUGCCCGGAUGACGAUCAUAGAUAACACAAAGACCCCUCCUUUGAGUUACUCGAUUUCUAAUACAUGCCAAAAACCAUCCCUAACUAUCAACAUUUUCACCCUCAGUUAAUGCAAAAGCAAGAGGAAACAAUUGAUUAUUUCCAUCACAGCCCAUGACAAUCAUUAUAGUGCCCUUAUACUUCCCAUACAAGUGUGCACCAUCAAUAGUGAACACAUGACGACAAUGCUUGAAGCCCUCUAUGGAAGGAUGAAAUGCCCAAAAGACUCGCUGAAAUACCUCUUCAUUUCGCAUAUUUCCUGGGAAUGUUUUAGAAAUUACAACACAUCCUGGAUUGGUUUGCUCUAAGGCACCAAAAAAAUGUGGCAGUUUAGCGUAUGAUUUAUAAAAAUCACCAAAAAAAUUAGUUACUGCUUUACGCUUGCCUUUCGAAGCCUUAGUGUAUGAGAUAUGGUACCCGAAUCUUUCUACAACACUUGCUUGAAUGGCAGCCACUGAAAGUGUGAAUUGUGUCUUAAUCAUUUCCUCUAUAUGGGCGGCUAUCAGGUUUGAGUCUAACUGAUGAUGAUCUUGGUUCAUGCAAGGAUUGACACAUGUGUGUGGGCCACUAUAUUUGUUGAUCUCAAAUAAAGAUGUCCCUUUAACAACCGUAGCACGAAGUCUCCAGGGACAUUGAGACCAUUCAGCUUUCUUGUAUCUUAGGACCAACAAUUUCUUUGUGGAUGACAAAACGAUUUACUCUUGGUGUGAAUUAAUAGAGUACAUCUUUACAGCAUGUUGCAAAUCUCAUUUGGAAUUAAAUAUUUGUCCAACUAUGAACUCUCCAAUUGGAUGUCCCAUAAGAGUGUUUCCCCAUGGGGUCCAUUCACUUGACACAACAUGACCAAUGUUUUCAACAUUUUCAAACUGUGGUGAUGGUGCCAAAUGAUAUUGCAUUGGAGAUAAUUCAAUUGGGUCAUCUAAAUCCUUUGUAUCUGGAUUGUUUGACAAGUUACAUCCUUCCCCAUCCACAACCACAUAUCUCAUUUGUUCUCUUUCAAUUGCCUCAUGAACAGCUAAAAAAGGCGAGCUACCUUCCCUAUUUUGAUUAUCAUCAUUAUGAACAUCCUCGGCUCCUACACUGUCAUCAUCACAUCGUCUUCCUUCUUCGUCUUCCUCAUCCUCUUCUGAUCUAUGCUUAAAAGUAAAUGAAUUUUGAACAUUACUAGUACCAUCAUUUUCACCAAGUAACAAAGGCAUGCAAUUACCAAUUGGUGAAUUCAUUUGUAAGUCAAUAGGUACUUGUUCAACAAAUAACUCAACUUCAUCCAUCCCAAAUGUGUUAUGCAUUUCUAACAUUCGAGCUACACCACUAUCAUUCUUUACUAGGCAAGGUUGGAAUUUAUUCACUUUUUUCAUAGGAUACUUACAACUAAGUAUUAAUCGAAAAUGUUCUUUAUUGAUGUCAGUGACCGAGUAUAUCAUUUCCAACAGUUGUUCAUAUGUUGUCCCAAGAGGCACAUCAAUAGGUUCAACCACAACUCUAUCCCCAACAUAAUCAACAUCGUUUUGUGUUCUCACCAUUUUCCCAUUACAAAAACAAACUAUUGCCACCCAUAAAUUAGACAUAGUUCACCUAUAGAAGAAGCCAAAAAAAUCAAAUCAAUUUCAUUUUUAACCACAAAAUUACACAAUAUAAAUUAUUGCUAAUAACAUCAAUUUGUAAUGAAAUAACAAAUAACAAUAAUAGGGUAUGUUAUUAACAAUAAUCAAAUAACAAAUAACACCUUAAUAUCCAAACAAUUCAAUGUUUUUUAUUAAUAAUAUUUUCUUAUUAUUUAUUACCAUUAAAAUUGAAUAAAAGGUUGUUAUUUUUCCAUUAACAAUUAAAAUGUCUUUGUUUAAGCUACCCAAAUUAAGUGGGAAAUUUUUUUAAAUUUGUUCAAAAUUUGAUUUUAUAUGAGUUUCAAAAAUGAAUGUAAUGUGUACAUAUUCAACAUAAUUAAUAGUUACGACUAUAAAUAUUUUAAUAUUUUCCAUUAAAAUAAUUAAAAAAGAGAAAGCGGAAUAGUUAAUACACUUUUGCUUAUGUUUGGUUAAUUUUUAAAUUUUUUUAAUUUAAUUAAAUUUCUACAAUUUAUAAUUUAAUAAGUUAAAUUUGAAGUAAAAACUAAUAUUUUCUAUAUAUUAAAUUUGGUUUUAGUGUUUUAUUUAUUUAUUUAUAACUAUUGAGUUCUUCAAAUAUUUUAUAAUCUUCAGAAGUCUAUCUCGAUUUUAUAGAUUUUUCCCUCUAUGGCCUAAAAUAUUUAUAAAAAUAUUCUAAAUAAAUUUCCUUAUUCUAUGAGGAAAUAUGAUAUCACAAUAAUAAAUUAACUUAGAAAAUACUUUAUACAAUAUUCUUUACAAAAAAGAAUUUAUAAUAAUUGAGAAUUUGAUACACUUUCUAAUAUAUGAUACAAUUCAAAAGCUAACCAAUAAUUACAAGCAAUUUUCAUGGUUUGGAGAUCCAGUCUAGGUUCUACAUGUCUUUUUACAGUUUUAUAAAGUUGUUAGCAUUUGUAUAGGUGCUAUUAAAUGUUCCACAUGCCAUUAAAUGAUUCGAGUUCUAGGAGCCUUAGAGUUUGGUCAUGAUUCGAGUUCUAGGAGCCCUAUAAUGGGGAAGAGAUUGUUAUAUGCACAAUAGUAUUAUCUUUAUAAAAAUGAUGAUUGAAAAAUGACACACUCAAAUCUCCUUGAUCCUAAUAAUUUUAAAAUAUAUAUAUAUAUAUAUAUAUAUAAUAAUAAUAAUAAUAAAAAGUAUAUAUUUUUUUAGAGGAGAAAAAGAAACAAAAAUAAAUUUAAUAAUCACUUCCAAUUUUAUAAAGUUAAUAAAUUAUGAAAACAAAUUUAAAAAUAAUUUGAAAAACUUAAGCAUUUGUAAUGAUGGUUUCUCGAUAAAUCUAGUAAUUAUAAUAAAUAAGAAGAUAAAAUAUUUUAAUAAUAAACAAGUAAUUAUAACUCAUAACCCUAAGGAUUUAUUAGGAAGUGUUUUGAAAAUAGUUUUAAAUUUGAUUCUAUUUGUAAUAUUUUUUUAGAAUAAAAAUACAUAUGGGAAGAUUUUGGACAUGUUUUCUUGUUUUUCAAAUAUUUAUUAAAAAUUCAAAUAUUUAUUAAAAAUAUAUUUUAUUUAUAAUAUUUUAUCUAUCAAAAACUUGUGUUUGAAAACAAUUAAUAACUAUAGACAAUUUGAUAUUAAUUUUUUAGUUUUCAUAAUAAUAAUAAUAAUAAUAAUAAUAAUAAUAAUAAUAAGUGAAAUAUAUAUAUAUAUUCCAUUGUGUUUUUUUAUUUAUUUUAAUUUUCUUCUAUUUUUUAUUUCUUUUUGUUCCCACUCGAUUUUAAAAUAAGUGGAUUAUGAUUAAUUUUUAAUUUUUUAUUAAAAAAAAGGAAAAUAAACAAGUGGAUUAUGAUUAAAUUUUUAUUUAUUAUUUAAAAAAGGAAAACAAACAAGUGGAUUUUUAAUUUUUUAUUAAAAAAAGGAAAAUAAACAAAUGGAUUGUGAUUAAUUUUUAAUUUUUUAUUCAAAAAAGGAAAAUAAACUAGUGGAUUUUUAAUUUUUUAUUAAAAAAGGAAAAUAAACAAGUGGAUUGUGAUUAAUUUUUAAUUUUUUAUUAAAAAAGGAAAAUAAAAAAUGAUUAAACAAAUAAUUUUUAUAUUAAAAAAUUCAAUCAGUUUUCAAAAAUUUAAAAUUAUAAAAAUUAAUUCAAAAAUAAUUAUCAAAUAUCCCUCAAAUAAAGUUAAAAUAAUUUCUUUAUUCGUUCCAAACCAUCCUUUCCGACAGCCCAAGAAAGUUAAAAUAAUUUUUUUAUGCGUUCCAAACCAUCCUUUCCAAACCAUCCUUUCCGGCAGCCCAAGAAAGUUAAAAUAAUUUUUUUAUGCGUUCAGCCCUUCCUACCCUCCUUCUCCUCUUUCUAUCAUCAAAACUAAAAAAUUCCAAGCUUCAACGCAGAGAUGAGAGAGGUUAAAGAGAUGAGAAAUCCACAAUAUUCCCAUGCUAUAAAAGGCCAGGCAGGCCAAGCGAGCCAAGGGCCUAUUCCACCAACAUAUAGGUGAGUGGGGUGCCAUACCCUCCUCCUCACUCCGGCAAAACCUUUGUUUCCAAAAACUAUUAUUAUGAGGACUCCUUGUCUUCAUCAUGGGGAUUCAGUGAUCCCGAGAUCAAGAGAAGGAAGAGGAUCGCGUUGUAUAAGGCUUAUGGCGUCGAGGGAAAGAUGAAGGCCUCCUUGAGAGGUGGGUUUUGUUGGGUUAAGAACAGAGCUAGAAGAUUUUAUUUAUUUUUAUUAAAUUGGGCAAAAUCAAAGAUUUUGCAUUUGGGUAAAAAAUUUGUUAUUUUUGCAUGACCUGCACUUCUUCUUCCUCUUCGAACCCUAACCCACCAUUGCCCAAAUUUGAAAUCUACCCAAACCCCCCAAUGUACAGAAUACAAUUUCAUUUAAUUUUUCAUUUUCCUCUGUUUGGUUAGUAAGAAAGCUAAGGAAAAUGACGGAAAAAAAAACUUACCUAGUAGAUGUUGCUAGUGGAGCUACUGGUGGGAGCCGUAGAUGGUGGGAGCCGCAGGUGGUGGGAGCCGCAGACGGUGAGGAGAGAUGGUGGGAGCUGCAGAGAAGAGAAAAUAAUAAUUAGGGUUUUUGUUUAAUGAUUUCAAAUGAAAAAAUUGGGUCUUCAGAGUAGUGGAUUGCUGAUGUGGAUUCAAAAGACUACUUUGACAAAUAGUUCAGGUGGUGAGAGCCGCAGACGGUGAGGAGAGAUGGUGGGAGCUGCAGAGAAGAGAAAAUAAUAGUUAGGGUUUUUGUUGAAUGAUUUCAAAUGAAAAAAUUGGGUCUUCAGAGUAGUGGAUUGCUGAUGUGGAUUCAAAAGACUACUUUGACAAAUAGUUUGAAAGAUGUAUUAAUUUGGUUUUUUUUUUCUAGUAAACAUUACUUUGACUGCAAACUCAGAAUUUAUCAUACCUGCCCUACCUUGUUUAAUUUUUUAAAUGGGAUGGGGAUAAGAAUUAUUUUGAAUAAAUAGGACGGGGUUAGGAUGAGGACGACCGUCCCGAACCUGUCCCAUUGCCAUCUCUACUUGUAAAGGGAAGACAUGGAGCCACCAACUCUCCGUCCCCAUCAAAAAUUUGCAAACUAACCACAUGGCCACAAAACAACCCCACAGUCUCUACACUUAUCCACAAAAUGAGAAUUGGUGGACAGUACUAAAUAUUAUUGAUCCACUUUACGGUAGAACGUGACUGGUCAGUGAAAGUUUCUGGUCCGAGCUUCACAUGGAGCGUAGUAGCCAAACGCUGGCCAACCUUUUGGGAAAUUAUAUGAUUUUAUGCUCCAAGUCAACACGUAAAGAAGACGUAGAUGGAAUCAUAGGCCAAGUGCUUUCAUAACGAAUUCAAAGGAUGGAAAAAACCGUAACUCAGUAAUUGACCAACAUGGGCUGUUGGGUUUGAUUUUGUCACCUAAAUGAGUCUGCGUACACUUGUUUUGACAAUACACGUUUUGAGUUCCGUCACACAUCGCCCUUUCCACCUGGCUACAAUCAAUAUUAUCCCUUUCCCAUUUGUCUUAGAACCUUGGGACCUUAGAAGUUUCCAUGUUGAAUGUCAUUGCCUAAGAGAAUAAUAUUGUAUUCACAUUGUUUAUUAUCAAUUUAAAGUAAGAGAAAAUGUGAUAUAUGUAAUAGACUCUUCUUAAAUUAUUAAUAUAAUUAAUUAGUGGAUGCAAUACAGAGAGAUAGACAUAUGUUAUGAACUCCUUCUGAUUGAAUAUAUGUUAUAUACAUUUUAACGGGAUGGAUGAUAUAUCAUGGAAGCAAAACGAAAAAUGAGACUUGGUUCAAUCAUUUUUUAAUUGUAGGUAUAAUUGUUCGACAGAUGUUAUGUAGAGAGAGAAAAAUAAGUAGAUAUCAUAUAAGGAAAGCCGGAGAAUAUAUAACUAAGAACUCUUCUUAACCGAGUGUAUAUAUAUAUUGGUUCCUAAUUUUUUUUCUUUUACAUCAUUGGAUGUUGGAGUAAUCGGAUGGAAAGUUAGAAACAUAUGUACAACCAUUCAAGGUACCUUAUGGGAUAGGAAUGAAGCCAUUGGCUCUGCCUUGUCUCAAGAGGGAAAGUUCCUGUGGAAGCUUGCUGCUAAUGCACUAAGCAAUAAUCAUUUUCAGUAUGAGUACCAUCAAUUUUUUGUAGUGCUUCUCCUUUUCUCCAAUUUCCCUCUCCCAUUGGAAAUCUGGAAGGCCUAUCUCCUAUUUAAUUUAAAUAAUUUCCAAAUGGUGAUUGAUGAUGACCAUCCCAUUAGCCACAAAUCUUACAUAUUCCCAUAUAUAAAUCCUAAGCCAGUUGAAGUGUUGAAUAUGAAUGAAUUUAAAAAAUAAGUGUUCUUUGUUUCAUAUCUCAUUCAAUCAUGUAAUCCCUUCUAUAAUUAGUGGGGAUGCCUAUUUUGAUCAGUGAGUUGCUAUUUGUUUUUCAAUUUGAAUAUCGAACAAAAAUCACUAUAAAAAUAUGAUUUAGGUCAUGUUUGGUGACAAUAUUAGAAAAAGAUUUUCAAUUCUCCAAAAUAAAAAAUAAAAAAGAUAGGUAAGAAAACAAAUUUUUAAAUAAUAUUUAUACAAAUAUGAUGAAGAAUAAUUAAAAAUAAAUUAUUACAUAUAAAAAUUAUUUUUAGACAUAUAAAAUAAAUUAAGAACAUUUUAGGUUUUUAAAUAAAUUUUUAUUCUAAGAAACAUAAAAAAAAAAAAAACAAUUUUCAAAAGUUGAUUUUUAAAACACUUUUCAUACAUAAUCUUAGAUUUUAAAUUUAAGAUAAAAUUUAGAAUUUUUAACUUAUUUUUUAUUAAAAAAAAAAAUCAUUGUGACAAACCCUACAUCAGCCUCUUUGAUCAACCCAUCUAGCCAAAAAUAAAAAUAAAAAUAAAAAUAGGAAGUAAAUUUUUUUAUUUUUAUUUUACACUCUUCAAAUAAUUUCUUUAACUUAUAUCUAAACUUAUUUCUUUGUACUCAAUUUUAUAUUUUUGUACUUCAAUCGACAUAUUUCUAUAAUCAUUUAAGAUUCAGAUUUAAUCAUACACUUAAACAUGGUUAUGGAACAUAAAAUUUGUUUUAAAUUUAAAUUUUUAAAAUUAAAAUUUCACAAAUAAAAGCGAAUAUGUCUUUUGAAGUAGGCACACACAAAAAAUAUAGAUCCAUAAUAUCAUAGAUAUACAAAUUAGGCAAAUAUUUUUUUUUCUAAAAAUAAAUGGCAUACUUUUACCAAAUGGAACAUUCCAAUUUCUUCUAUAAAAUAUAGUCGAUUCUCUUACACUAUUCAAAAUUAAAGAUAUUUUACUGUAAUGUUUCACGCUUGCUUGAGAUUGGAUCAAUUUUUUACUUACACGUUUUUUUUUCAAAGAUGCCCUUAGAUUAAUGUAAAAUGUCAACUGCGCAGACAUUCCUGUUAACAAAAGUCAAGAAGAUAGGCUAGCUGAGAACAAGUGCGUCCGUAAUGGUUUCUAAGACUUAUUGUUCAGAUAAAAGGAGACAGACACACGGCGUGUAAUGGCGAAUUGGGCACACCAGAUUUGUAAUCCUGAUGCCUAACACCAAGUUCUGUGUUGACCGAUUGUACUUGUCAAAUGGAUGUACGUCGGUAUGAGAGAUGUUUUCAAAAAUAAUUUUGAGAAACAAAAUUUUAGAAUAAUUUUUAAAUACUGUGCUAUAAUAUUUUAUAAAAUAGAAAUUUGUUUAGAAACCCUAAAAUAUUUUUACUUCCGAUGCAUGUAACACUUAAACUUUUUUAUUAAAAUAAUUAUUUUUAAAUAUUAAAAAGAUUAAAAAUAUUUUCUAAAAUCAAUAUCAAAUAUAUUUUAAAUGUAUUUUAAAAUAUAAUUUUAUAUGUAAUAUUUUAUGUUUUUAUCAUUAGUAUUUAUAUAAUUACUUUUAAAAUAGUUUUUAAAAAAUAAAUAAAAAUAAUUAAAAUAUGUUAUUUAAAAAUACCUUAUAAAAAAACUCUGUCCUAUUUUCUGAUUAUGAAAUAUGAUUUUUUUUUUCAUUAAAGAAUAGAAAAUUAUUCUAUAAACAUAGUUAACAAAGUGGUCUGAAUUCCCAGAUUGUCUCCCUAUUUUGGAAUUAUGAUGGGCGGCCUUUCUGUGGCAGCAGGAGGCUCAGUGGGCGGAAUGGAGCCCAUUUUGCAAGCAGGCCACAAAGUCGUUUGCUUUUCGUGAUUGCACUAGAAAUUUCUUUUGAUUUGAUAGCAAGAAAUCAUCAUGAGAAUAACGUUUUGGAAAAUUAGACAUUUGUGAAGAUAUAAAUAUAUAAAAUUUUAUCAGAAAUUGGUAGUUAAAAAAUGUUAGUAAAAAAAGGAGGGGAAAAUAUUGAUGGAGUUGAAGACGACCGAAGCUGGCCUAAUUUCCCAAGUCUUCAAAUUCUAUGCAACUUGAGUCUCUCCAAAACUUAGAAUUUAAAAAUUCGUCCCAAGCCUAACUUUUGUUUACUUAAUUAAUCAAAUGUCUGCCGUGCUAUUAGACCAUCCAACCUCCAUCCUCCCUAUAAAUACCCUCAAAUCUUCAAACCAAGACCAUUCACAUUUUCACAUCUUCCCUCACCCACCUCCUCUUCUCUUCUUCGUCUCAAGCCUCUCCCCAACAUGAAGUCCCUAAAGCUCGUUAUUCUCAUGCUGGCCCUGCUCUUGGUCAUGGCUGCUGUACGUUCAGUCUCAUCAGCUGAAGAAGAAGACUUCAUGUUUGAUCUAGACCAGGAUGACAGCAUCGCUGCUGAAGCUGAAAAUUCUGAUCAACUUCCAUUACUUGAAAGCGAGCAGCCGAUAUCGCUUAGGGGGACUAGCCGCUUUCUGACGGAGGCGGCCCGGAUCAAGGUGACGUGCGACAAGUACCCUACAGUAUGCCGAGCCAAGGGAAGUGCAGGGAAGUACUGCUGCAAGAAGAAGUGUGUGAAUGUGAGGACGGACAGGCUCAACUGUGGGGCGUGUGGGAAGAAGUGUAGGUACUCUGAGAUUUGCUGCAAAGGGGAGUGCGUCAACCCUUCUUCAGACAGGAGGAAUUGUGGGGGCUGCGGCAAGAAGUGUAAGAAAGGGAGUCUCUGCGUGCAUGGGAUGUGCAGCUACUCGUAGAUUUCUGAGCAUUGUUGCUGUACAUGGGAAAAUUUCUAUAUUCAUGUAACUAUGGCGAGCCAUCACCAUUUGAUGGGCUUGCAAAUCCGAGUUUUUUCAUUUUUUUCUGAUUCUUCAUGAGGUCUUUACUGGUAUAGAUGACAACAAUGAGCCAGUUCACAGUGCCUGAAAUCCAAGACACUUCUUCUCUACCGGACUGGCCGCUUCCUGCUCAUUACUGAGCAAGGAGAGAAGGAUUGCAGGAACUGUGGAUGGAGUGUGUAGUUACAAAUAAUAAUUUCAUGUACACUUCCUAUGAUGGAAAGCGGAUCGUGUUGAUGAUUCGUUCAAUAAAAGGAACAUAUGGGAUAUGCUAUUAUCCUCCAUUGUUGAAGUAUGAUAUCUUGCUUUUGUUGGCUAUAAAAAAUUACUCAACAGAAAUCAGAGAUAAUAAUACAAAUUAUAAAGAUACAAUGCAAAUCUCUUAAUCUUCUUAAGAACAUAAAGAUUAAAUAAUCCACCAAUCGAGGUACACAUAAGUUUUAACCUAAUUGGAUAUGAUCAUAUCCACGAUCAUUCUAUUGUAAUAAAAGAAAUAUUAUAAAGAACAUGAUAAGAUAUAAUGAUUAAAUUUCAAAAUAUCUUACAUUCUUUUUCAAAAUAUAUAUAUUUUUUUAUUAAACUAAAUAUCCCUUCUUCCUCACCUAAAAUAUUUAUAGAUAUUCUUAAUAAAUUUUUAUUUUAUAAAAGUUCCAUUAUGAUGAUAUAUGAAUUUAAAAUAUGUUUUUUUUUAAUGAUAUUAGGAAUUCGUGACAUUUUUAAGUGCAAAACAAAUGUACCCUUGACUUCUAUUCCCUUUCUAUGUAUUUGCGUAUAUCAUCCUCUAAGUAAUUAAGUACAAUAUUUGUUCAGCCUAUUGUUUGUAUGGGACGUCCAAAUUAUAUGAAUGAAACUGUAGCUCCUUUGGCUUUUAGCUGAUGCAGAUUGCCAGUACUAUUUGUUGUAAUUAGAAUUACCUAGAAAUUGAGAACACUAUUGUAAAAUACCAAAAUUACAUGAAUAUUGGUUAAAUAGUAAAAACAUACAUCAUUAUUGUAUGUUUGGUUUAUGCGAUUUGUGCGCAUAUCAUUCUCUUUAAACAAAUUGUCGGGUUACAACAAUAUGUUCGAAAAUAGAUCAUCCAAAUGAGAGUUCUUAGGAUAGGUUAAUUGUGGAAUGUGACGACAAAUAUUAUGAAAGAUUUUAUUUACUCUCACUAAAUAUGAAUUGACUUUUGAUAAGAUGAUCAAAAAUUGAUUCACUGAUCAGUAUUGUAUAAUAUACUAAUAUAUUAUUAUCUUAUUUGUUAAAACUCACGUGCAACCCUAUAGAAGCUGGCUCAUGAGACAAAAUCAUGACUAAGCUUUAAUAUAAAUGUAACUAUGUAAGUAACUAGGGACAUUACCCAUAAGAAGUAAUUAGCAUGAUACACAUAAUUGUUCAUUACCAAGGAUUUAAGCAUGUGGGUGAUCACAUAAUAAGUUAUAAAGUAAAGUCGUGUCACUCAUACAUCAUACAAUUAGCUUAACAAUCACAUAACAUAAUUAAUUUAACAGCUGUCAUGUCUUUAUUCCAUUGGACAUUCUCUUCUCCAAAGAGAAGCACUUUGAUAUGUCUUUCUUUAAUUUUCUCUCUUCCUAAUGAUGAAAUUUGAAGUCAUGUUGAUGAAAAUAGAAAGGAAGAAAGGGAUUCUUCUAUCUAUAAUCCAACUAGAAUAUUGAAGUAAAAUUUUUGUGCAAUGUGGGUCAAAUUGGGCAUGCGCUAGAGGUGAUACAUGUUAUAUACCCCCAUGAAUUCAAGUUUAAGUUUCCCUUCCAACAAAUUUCAUUAAGAAUAGUUUUAUUCAAGUAGUGAAAUAUUGGAAGUACAUUCAAUAUUUUCAAAUACUAUAUAAUUAAACAUGUGAGAUAUUAUUAAAAUAUGCACUAGGUAGUGGCAUAUGUGCAUUUCAAUUUCAAUAAUAUUAAUAUGAUUGAUAUAUGCUAUGCUUAUUAUUGCGAUUGCUUAGUAAAACAUGUUAUAACUUGAAAUAAUUUAUAGAUCAAAAUUACUGGCUACACGUGGAUACAAAAACAGUAAGCUUCUAAUUUUCUUUCUUUUGAAUCAAUCAGUGUCUUUUUAUGGGUCAGAUAUUCAGUGUUUCGAGACUGUGACCCAUUUCACCUUUUGAUUAGAGCAGUACCAUAACUAUAUCCAUAUCCUAACUUUGUAGACUUGAUGACCUACCCAUUUUGAGUCUGACAUGACACCACACCUUGGUACCAUUAUAUGACCUUACCAUUUUUGUUCACCUUAGCAUACUACAGUACCAUUGCUUAUUCUUUCCAUCCUUUAUUUGAUCUAACUAGGUAGAGUUUGAGAUGGUUAGACCUGAGGUGAGCUCUGCAUGAUGAUAAAUGGAUCAUGAUGAUAGCGUGGUUUGACUGCUUGAUGAUAUUGCUGAGGCAGAGGGGUUAUCAUGGAGCAUCCAUAUUUGAGCCAUUGCACAUGACUUCAGAGAGUCGAGAUGACUAAAGAUGGUGAUUUUAUGAGACGAUGGUGAAUGACUUAUGAUGAUAGAGUGAGGUGAUUGUCAGAGGGCUUUAAUGAUUAUCACAGAGCAUCGGUGGGAGCUUUCACAUGAUUGCAAAGAAGUUGACAUGGUUGUGUUUGAUAGAUGUUAGUAUUUGGUAUUGACCAUGUGAUAUAUUGAGGGUGUGAUGUAUGUGGUUGUGGUUAAAUAAUGGGUGGUCAUUGUUUCAUGAGCUCAUUUACCCUAUUUACUUUAUCAUCCUCACAUAUAGAGUUACAUGUUGCUAGCCCUUUGAGCCUCACACGAGCAACAUAACCUUUUAUUUCAUCACUUCAUUUACCUAUUACACCAGGUUGGGGACCCUAUAGUGUUUGCAUGCUUUGAUUAAAUACAUCAUGAGUUCUAGACCUGACAUACAUAUUCAGGCCUCAUCUCUCACCCUUCAUUGUGAUAUUUUCCAUUUUGACAUCAUCUCAUCACUUUUUUCGGCAUCACAUAUCACCACUUGUGAUAUUCAUUAUCUAUCUUUUCUCUAAUCAUUGUUUAAUCAACAUUAUCCUUGUUUCACCUUGAGUGGUGGUUUUUCACACAUCACUGCAUGGAGGAUUGUCACAUUCUUUUCCCCCGUUCACCCCAUGGGCAGUAGUUUAGAGGUCUUAGUUUGAGAUGUUGUCUUAUUAGUGAGGAUUCAUGUUAUAUCUGUAUGUGGAGAUGGUUUGAUCAUUUGGGUAUGUAUUUUCAUUGGAGGUCAUUCAUUAUUGAUCAGAGUAUGCACAAAAAAAAAAAAAAAAAAACAAAACAAAGAAUAUAAAAGAUAAUGCAUUUUUCAUUGUACCGUUUUCCAUUGACUACAUGUAUGGAUGUGCUGGUUUGCUUCAUUGAGUUUGUGUGUUAAAGAUAGUUCAUAUGGGAGUUUCUUUUUGAGAUUUUAUCUUAGUAUAUAUUUGGGUGAGAGUAUGAGUCGUCCAUUCGAUUUUCGUGAGAGGCGAGCAACCUUUUUUUAGGAUUUUUGGAUUUUUGCCUUAUUCGUCAUUGCAUCCAUUUUUAUGUGACUACUUUCCAUGUUUAGAUGCAGGUUGACCAUCACUCACUUUCCUAUCUUUUUGUCUUCUUCUAUCUUUAUUUUAUUCCUUCAUUUCACUCUACCUCAUCUGAUUUCUUUCUUUUAUCAUCCUGCUUGAUGUUUGACUUGGGUUUUAUAGGACCUCAGGCGCUAUCAACUCUCCUAAAAGCAAUUGCUUGUAGGAAAGGUGCAUACCAUAGCCUUAUAGUGCAUUCACCUAAGCGCCCAUGGGCGAACACAAGGGGAGUUGAUGGACGCGGCCAACCCUCCGAUGUGCCAACAAUCUCCCCCCCAGCGACACCCCUAGGGUUCAAACCCAUGACCUCGGCUCUGAUACCACUUGUAGGACCUCAGGCGCUACCAACUCUCCUAAAAGCAAUUGUUUGUAGGAAAGGUGCAUACCCUAACCUUAUAGUGCAUUCACCCAAGCGCCCACAGGCGAACACAAGGGGAGUUGAUGGAUGCGGCCAACCCUUCGAUCUGCCAACAGGUUCAAUAUCCACACUUCAUUCUUGCUUAUAUGAUAUGUCAUUCAUUUAUUAUCAUUUUUCAUGUUGGAAUCUUUAUGUCCGCAACUCAUAAUGUUUUAUACGCAUUGCUUCUCAUGCAUGAGGGGUAUAGGGAUUAUAUCAUUGGGAUUAUUGAGCCUAGUUUCCUCUUGUUUCUUUCACCCUCUUACCUUAGUGUAGACCCUCCAUUUUAUUCUCCUAGCACAUGUCCUAUUAGGUAUUUGUUCGAUACUUUACAACAAUUUCCUGGUAGCCCAUUACUACUCGUGUAGCCUAUAUUUUCUAAGCCACCUUGGAGAUUUUGGUUAAGGGAUUUACCUAAUCCCAUUGUGACUUUUGGCAGCCCUAUUUAGACUUAGGAUCACUUAGGCACCUCAGGCUCACUUAGGCACCUUAGUGUCACAAGAUGCUUCACAUGACCCUCUCCAUGGCCUUAUAUAGGAGGAGGAAAGCUUCUAGAGACUUCUAUAGCCAUCUACACUAAGCCAUUAGUGGGAAGAGUGUGGGAGGUUCUAGAAGUGCUUAGAGAUGUCCACACAUCUCUACACUAUGGUGGAAGGCAUGAGAGGAGUCCAAGGCUUUCUAGAGACUUCUAGGAAUCUCUUGUAUAUUCUUGUACAUAGGGUUGUACAUAGAAUAGGGUAGGAUGUUCUAGAAUAUUCUUGAUUUGUAAGGAACCCUCCAAGGUUCUAAAUAGUUCCAUUGGUGCCUAUAAAUAGGUGAGACCCUCAUUUGGCCAAGGCACCACCCAAAUCACUUCCUAACCAAGCAAGUGAGUCUUCAAAGCACUUGUAAAGGCUUCUUUGAGUAAUAAGAGCUUCCAUUCUCUAAGAGUUGACUACUAAGCUUCUUAAGCUUUCGAGUUACGAGCGUCUUAGCCUAGCAAUCUAAGCAUUGGGAGCAAGGUUGACUUAGCAAGGUCAAGCGUCUUGACUUGCCUAAGUGCCGCACGAGCUUAGUGAACGACUAAGUCCGUGACAUUAGGCCCACUUAUGCACCAUAUGUCCACUUAGGCACCUUAGACCCAUUUAGGCACACUUGACCCAUUGGGCAUCACCUUAGGCCCACUUAGGCAUCUUAAGUCCAUUUAGGAACCCUAGGCCCAUUUAAGCACCCUAGGCCCAUUUAGACACCUUAGGCCCAUUUAGGCAUCCUAGGCUCAUUUAGGCACUCUAGGCCCAUAUAGGCACCAUAGGCCCAUUUAGGCACCUUAAGCUCAUUUAGGCACCCUAGGCCCAUUUAGGCACCCUAGGCCCAUUUAGGCAUCCUAGGCCUAUUUAAGCAUCCUAGGCUCAUUUAGGCAUUCUAGGCCCAUUUAGGCACCCUAGGUCCAUUUAGGCAUCCUAGGCCCAUCUAGGCACCCUAGGUCCAUUUAGGCAUCCCAGGUCCAUUUAGGCACCCUAGGCCCAUUUAGGCACCCUAGGCCCAUUUAGGCACACUUGGCCCAUUAGGCACCAUCCUAGGCCCACAUAGGCAUCCUAGGUGUCUAAAAUGCUCAUUUAGACACCUUAGGCCCAUUUAGGCACCCUAAGCCCAUUUAGACACCUUAGGCCUAUUUAUGCACCCUAGGCCCAUUUAGACACCAUAGUGUCAUAUGAUGCUUCAAAUGAGCCUCCUCAUGGGUUUAUAUAGAGCCCAAGAAGUUUCUGGAGAUUCUUGGAGCCAUCUACACUAAGCCAUUGGAGGGAAGAGUGUGGAAGGUUCUAAAGGUGCCUAGAGAUGUCCACACAUCUCUACACUAUGGUGGAAGGCAUGAGAGGAAUCCAAGGCUUUCUAGAGAAUUCUAGAAAUCUCUUAUACAUAGGGUUGUACAUAGAAUUGUGUAGGGUAUUCUAGAAUCUUCUUGAUUUGUAAGGAACCUUCCAAGGUUCCAGAGAGUUCUAUUGGUGCCUAUAAAUAGGUGAGGGCCUCAUUUGGCAAAGGCACCACCCAAAUCACUUCCUAACCAAGCAAGUGAGCUUCUAAGCAUUGUAUAGCUUCCUUUGAAAGCAAUAAAGCUUCCAUUAUUUAAGGGUUGCCUACUAUGCCUUCUAAAGCUUCCAAGUUGUGAGCGUCUUAGCCUAGCAAGCUAAACAUUGAGAGUAAUGCUGACUUAGCAAGAUCAAGGGUCUUGGCUUGUCUAAGUGCCGCACGAGCUUAGGAAAAGACUAAGUCCGUGACACUAGGCCCACAUAGGCAUCCUAGGCUCAUUUAGACACCUUAGGACCCUUUAGGCACCCUAGGCCCAUUUAGGCACCCUUGACCUAUUUAAGCAUCCUAGGACCAUUUAGGCACCCUAGGCCCAUUUAGGCACCCUAGGCCCAUUUAGGCACAUUGGACCCAUUUAGAUGCACUUGGCCCACUUAGGCUCACUUAGGCCCACUUAGGUCACUUUUUAGGUAAUUUUUUGCAUGUUUGCAUGAUUGCAUUUUUUGUAUGACUUGCAUGGCUUGUUUAUUUUAAAGUUGCGUGACUUGACUUUUUAUUAUAUUAUUUUUAUUUAUUUUAUUUAUUAUCUUGUCUUUUUCUUCAUCUAUUUUAUUUCCUUAUUAUUUUGCCACUUUUCCGUAAUGCUUGUCCUUAUUUAUCUAUUUUAAUUUAAUAAUUUUGUGUAAAUAUUUUUAUAUUUUUAUUUUUUAGUACUGUUAUUAUUAUUAUUAUUAUUAUUAUUAUUAUUAUUAUUAUUAUUAUUAUUAUUAUUUUAUUACUUGUCCUUAUUUAUUUGAAAUUUUGUAUGAAAUGUAUGGAAGGUGUGCACGGUAUUGAUAUUUGGAAUGUGAGAUUUCCUUGGAUGCAUGAUCAUUGGAGAUGGAAUGGAUACCAUAUUGAGAUUGGAAGAUACGUUUUGGGAGAAUUUAAGGAAAUGUGGCUCUAGGAGAUAAGGAAACAAUUGAAGAUUGACAUGGCUUGGAGAAAGAAAUUGGAGUUUGAGGUUUUUCUUUAGAAAGAGAGACAAUUAAAAAGAAAAAAGAAAAAGGAAGACUACCAAUUUGGUUUUGGAGGAAUUAUAAGGUCGUGCAUUUAAUGAAGAAAGUAAGUGGGUUCUUUAGAGGAAAGUGAGAUUUUUCCUUAGAAGCAAAAUAAAAGUCAACACCUUUUGUUUGGAAGCUUGAGACCACACUUGGGAAGGUUUUUCAGCACAUUUUUUGAGGAUAUGGUUCAAAAUGAGGGUUGUGUCUAGGUAUGGAAAAGAAAAAUUUAUGGGCAUGAUGAAGAAAGGAUUAAAUGAGAGACUUGGUUUCAAGAAGUGGAUGAAAGAGAGGAUGGCAGAGCAGAUCCUUUCUGAUAUCUCCACCGUGGCUGCAAAAAGGAAUUUGUGGGGGGGGGGGGGGUGCACAUUUUAGAGGAAAUGAUUGAAGGAAGAUUGGAGUAAAAAAUGAAGAACAAGAUUUUUUUUAGAGAGGAUCUGCCAUUUAAAAUAUAGAAGCACCAAAAUUUCUCAAAGGGGAUCUGAGACACCCAAGUUUGAGACACCGCCAAGAAGAAAUCUUCAUGGACAGCCGCACAUGGGAGGAGAGGGUAGUGGUUGCACAUAGGGAGGAAUGACAACCACUUGAUGCUUAGAAAACAUUGAUGAUCAUGUGGUUGAACUUUGAAGAUGCAUCCAUUACAAAGAGCGGGCUGCUACAUGAAAAAAAAAAAAAAGAUUUUUUUAGAGAGGAUGAUUGACGAUUUUGGGUAUUCAAGGGAGGAAUGACAACCACUUGAUGGUUAGAAAACAUGGAUGAUCGUGUGCUUGAACUUUGAAGAUGCAACCAUCAUAGAAAGCGAACUGCUACAUGGAAAAAAGAUGACUUUUUGAGAGAGGAUGAUUCACGGUUUUGGGUAUUCAAGGGAAGAAUGACAACCACUUAAUGUUUAGAAAACAUGGAUGAUCGUGUGCUUGAACUUUGACGAUGCAGCCAUCACUUUGGAUUUUUUUAAAAUUUUCUUAUGUCACUAAUGCUCGGAUCCGUAGAAAUGCCACCAUGCUUUGACUCCACUUUCAUGUUGAAUGUAAGUAGAGAUAUUUACAUUUGAUUGAAGAGAUGUAGCAAUCAUAUUUGAGAAGAAUUGCAACAGCCACUUUGUCAUGCUUAAUGGAGAAAAAAAAAUUCAUGGCAUAUGUGUGAGAUAAGUGGCAAUCACGUGGUGCUGUAAGUGGAUUCUUAAUGGCUGAUUUGUUUUUCCUUGAUACUUAUUCAUGGAUUUCAAUGGUGUUAGGAGGAGAAAGAAUUUUUUUUAAAAGAAAUUUUCAACACGUGGAGGAGAGAGUAGAGAGAAUGGAGUGUUGUUUUUUCUAGUUGUUGGAGUGUUACAUCUCAUAUUGAAAGCAUGGAAUUAAAAAGGAAAGAAGAAAGACUUAAAAUAGAAAGCAAGUUAGAUGAGAAGAGUUAGUUAGAAGAGUUGUUAUUUCAGUUUAUUCUUUACUCUGUUAUUUUGUCAUUGAUGUAUUAUAAAUAGGACUCAAGUCUGAUGUAGUUUUUCAAUUUUUCAGUUUCUGCAAUUCAUUUUCCUUUGUGUCCUAUGUUUCUUGGUGUUUUUCAUCAGUUUCAUAUUCUUCUGAUUCUCAACAUGGUAUCAAAGCCAAACCCUAAAGCUUCCAUAACCUAAAUCGAUCAAUUUCUUCUCAACUUCUGCCUUGCGAAAUUCUACUCUAGAAUUCUCGCAUUGAUUGUCUUCCAGCUUCUUGCAUUUUCUUGAAUAAAUUCUUGAAAAUGAGUUCUGGUGAUUCUCCUCUUGUCAAUCCCUCUUCUAUGCAUCCUUCUUCAUCUAAUUCUUUUAAUCAGCCUCCUAUCAAUCCUUCAGAUGACUCAUCAAGUUCGUAUUACCUACAUCCAAGUGACAAUCCUGGUGCUUUGUUAGUAUCAGAAAUCUUCAAUGGAGAAAACUAUGUUGCAUGGAGUCAUUCAAUAGUCAUUGCAUUGACAGUAAAAAACAAGGUACAAUUUAUAGAUGGUUCAAUUGUUUCUCCCUCUACUGGUCAGCUUGUUAAACACACAGCAUGGUUAAGGGCAAAUAAUCUGGUUCUUUCUUAGUUGAUGAAUUCCAUUUCAAAAGAAAUAUGAAAUAGUUUGUUGUUUGUGGUAUCUGCUGUUGAUAUUUGGAAUGAGCUUAAAGUCAGAUAUCUCAGGAGUGAUGGACCAAGGGUUUUCCAACUUGAGAAAUCUUUGAGUUGAAUCAGUCAAGGUGUUUUGUCUGUCACUGAAUAUUUCAGUACCUUUAAGACCCUUUGGGACGAGUACAUUAGCUAUAGGCCAUUUCCAACAUGCACUUGUGGCAAGAUGGCAACAUGCACUUGUGAACUUUUCAACUUUCUACAAAUCAUAUAGCAAUCUGAUUAUGUACUCAAAUUCUUGGUGGGGCUAAAUGAUUCUUAUGCCUCUAUCAGAAGCCAAUUGUUGCUAACGGUUCCAUUACCAAACAUGUCCAAGGUUUUCUCUCUAUUGCUUCAAGAAGAAAGUCAGAGACAACUCACAAAUUUUGCUACAUAUAAUGAGACUCAUGCUUUGAUGGUAAAGCAAUCCAAUCAGCAUAAUUACUAGCCACAAUCUUUCAAGGACAAACCAAAGAAAUCUGCCCUACACUGUAGUCAUUGUGGCUAUAAUGGUCACACAAUGGACAAAUGUUUUCAACUUCAUGGUUAUCUCCUUGGCUGGAAUGGACUAAAGGGAAAAAGAAAUAUGGCUUAUGCUUAUGCUGCCAUUACUACUCUAGAGGUCCCCAAUCAAAAUAGCAAUGAGCAACAAAAGUUUUGUUUCACUCCAGAGGAAUUUCAUAAACUAAUGGCGCUUGCAAAUUCAGUUCAACCCAAUUCUUCCGAUCAGAAUAAUGUCCAACUAGCUGUUAACCUUGUCUCCAUCUCUCACUUUUCUGGUAAAGUUCAACCUACACUUAAACCAAAAUUUUUUUUUUCUUGUAAUUCUGUUACUUCUAAGACAAAUUCCACUUCAUAUUGGCUUCUUGAUACGGGUGCAACAUACCAUAUGAUUUGUUCACCACUUUUAUACCAUUCUACACCUAAACCAAUUAAUGCAUCCAUCAAUCUUCCUAAUGGUACUACAGUUCCAACCACACACAUUGGUACUGUAUGUCUCUCAAAUUCCUUAUUUUUACAUAAUGUCUUGUGUGUUCCUCAUUUUUCAUUCACUCUAUUAUCCGUUUCCAAACUCACUAAACAAUAUAAUAUUUCUCUUACCUUUACUACUUCUCAUUGCCUUUUACAGGACCAGUCAAUGGAAAAGAUGAUUGGGAUUGCUCUUGAAAAAGAAGGACUUUACCAUCUAAUUCCAGCUUCAUCACAAGCUAAAACCUGCAAUUCAUUUCAGUUUAAUUCUGCUCCUCUUGCUUUGUCCUAUAUUCACAAACACUUAGAUAUAUGGCAUUGUAGAUUAGGAUAUGUAUCUAGUUCAAGAUUCCAUUCCCUCAAACAGAUUGACUCUACUAUCACUCUUGAUCAUACAAAUGAUUGUGACAUAUGUCCUUUAGCAAAGCAAAGAACGCUUCCUUUUUCUGUAUCAUAGAGUAAUUCUAAUAAAAGUUUUGAUUUGAUCCAUUGUGAUAUAUGGGGUCCUUUUAACACUACUUCUUAUUUUGGUUUUCGAUAUUUUUUAACUAUAGUCGAUGACUUCACAAGGUGUACUUGGGUAUACAUGAUUAAAGCUAAAUCAGAAGUGCCAUCUUUAAUCAAAACUUUCUGUAAAAUGGUAGUAAACCAAUUUUCUUCUUCUGCCAAAUCUAUAAGAUCUGAUAAUGGACCAUAAUUCUUACUCACAAAAUUCUAUCUUAAAUAUGGUAUUUUGCAUCAGAGAAGUUGUGUCGAAACUCCUCAACAAAAUGGUGUUGUGGAGAGAAAACAUCAACAUUUACUAAGCACUACUAGAGCCUUAAUGUUUCAAGAAAAUCUACCAUUAAUUGUUUGGAGUGACUGUGUGCUCACUGCUGCCCACAUAAUCAAUAGAAUUCCCACUCCUCUACUUCAAAAUAAAACCCCUUUUGAAAUGAUUUUUAACAAAACACAUAACCUUUCUCAUUUAAGAGUUUUUGGCUGCCUUUGUUUUGCAUCCACUUUAACUAUUCACAGACAAAAAUUUGAUUCACGAGCCACAAAGUGCAUCUUCCUAGGAUAUCCUUAUGAUAUUAAGGGUUAUAAACUUAUGGAUCUAAACACCAAUAAGAUCCUUGUUUCUCGGAAUGUCAUAUUCCAUGAAACAAUUUUUCCUUUCCAAGUAUUGCCCCAACAUCCUGAAACUCAUUCCUUUAUAUUUCAUUUUUCACAAUCCUUUUCAGAUUCACCUUCUACCACCUCAUUCUUCAAUUCCUAUCACAAUAUGGGAUCUGCAUCACCACCUAAUAAUUCUCAUUCUCUCUCUGAACCUCCUACCCUUCUUGAAUCCAACUUACUUACAUUUCUCUCUCCAUCCCAUCUGGAUUCAACUGACCCUGAAGUCCUACAACUCAGAAAUCAACCAGAAUUAAACAAAAACCUUCAUAUUUGUAGGACUAUUAUUGUGGUGAUGUCUUUUUUUUCUCAAAAUGCAACUCAAGCAUCUACUUCAACUGAUUAUUCUCCUACUAAAGGUAAUUUCUAUUCUUUUCACCAUUUUCUUCUACUAGUAGACUGUCUACACCCCAUAAAGCUUUUCUCACCUCUAUCACAAACUCUCCAAAACCUAAAUCAUACACCCAAGUUUCUCACCUCCCCGAAUGGCAAGCUGCCAUGCAACAUGAACUUACUGCUUUGGAGUUAAAUAAAACUUGGGAGCUUGUUACUCUUCUUAAAAAUAAAAGGACUAUUGGUUGUAAAUGGGUAUUCAAAGUGAAAUAUAAAGCUGGUGGAACUAUAGAAAGACAUAAAGCUAGAUUGGUGGCAAAAGGGUAUACUCAGCAAGAAGGCCUCGAUUUCUUUGAUACUUUCUCUCUCCUGUGGCCAAGAUUAUAUCCAUUCGCUUACUACUUGCUGUGGCUGCCGUCAAACAGUGGCAUCUUCAUCAACUAGAUGUCAAUAAUGCAUUUUUGCAUGCUGAUUUACAUGAAGAGGUUUACAUGGAAUUGCCUAUUGGGUUGGCUGUCCAAGGUGAACAGAAAGUUUGUCGUCUUUUAAAGAGCCUCUAUGGCUUGAAGCAAGCUUCCAAGCAAUGGUAUGCCAAGCUAUCCCAGGCCAUUCUUUCCUAUGGAUUUGUUCAAGGUAAUUUUGACUAUUCUAUGUUCAUUAAGAAAUCUAAAAGUUCUUUUAUGGUCUUAUUAGUUUAUGUGGAUGAUGUGCUAUUGGCAAGUGAUAGCAUUCUGGAAAUUGAAAGGUUGGAGACCUUUUUAGAUGCCAAGUUCACUAUUAAAGACUUAGGCCCACUGAAAUACUUUCUUGGCUUGGAAGUUGCAAGGUCCAAGACUGGUAUCUUAUUAUGCUAAUGAAAGUAUAUACUUGACACACUUAAGACAUUGGUUUAACUGGAUCCAAACCUACUGCUUUCCCUAUGGAAUCUACCCUCAAGUUAUCAGCAAAUGAUACCAAUUUCUAUGAAGAUCCAUCAGGUUACCGAAGACUCAUUGGCAUAUUACUUUACUUAACUCUCACUAUGCCUGACUUAGCCUAUUCUGUAUGAGUACUCAACCAAUUUUUAGCAAAACUUGCUGUCAGUCACCAUCAAGCGACUAUUCGAGUACUGAGGUAUCUAAAGGCCACACCAGGGCAAGGUCUCUUUUUUCUUUCUUUUUCAGAUUUUCAAUUAAAGGGUUUUUCCGAUAGUAAUUGGGUAGGUUGUGUCGAUACUAGAAAGAGUGUCACUGGUUUUGCAAUUUUUCUUAGCAACUCAUUGAUUUCAUGGAAAUCAAAGAAACAAGUUAUAGUUAGUCGAUCCUCUAUAGAGGUAGAGUACUGAGCCCUUGCAACUACCACCUGUUAAAUUCAAUGGCUUUUGUAUGCCUUACAAGACCUGGAUUUCAAACAUUCACAGUCAGCUUUGCUAUAUACUGACAGUAAAUCAACAAUGUCCAUCGCCAUAAAUCCAAUUCAGUAUGACAGAACAAAGCACAUCCAGAUUGAUUGCCAUCUUAUUCGCGAAAAAUUGCAGCAGCAUGUUAUUAAGCUUUUCCAUAUUCCAUCGCGAUUACAGCUCGCAGAUAUCUUUACAAAGCCUUUCGGUUCUCUACCUUUUCUUUAUACUCUUCGCAAGAUGAACAUCAUUAACAUCUAUGUUCAUCUUGAGGGGGGAUGUUGGAGUGUUACAUCUCAUAUUGAAAGCAUGGAAUUAAAAAAGAAAGAAGAAAGACUUAAAAUAGAAAGCAAGUUAGAUGAGAAGAGUUAGCUAGAAGAGUUGUUAUUUCAGUUUAUUUUUUACUCUGUUAUUAUGUCAUUGAUGUAUUGUAAAUAGAACUCAAGUCUGAUGUAGUUUUUCAAAUUUUCAGUUUCUGCAAUUCAUUUUCCUUUGCGUCCUCUGUUUCUUGGUGUUUUUCAUCAGUUUCAGAUUCUUCUGAUUCUCAACACUAGUGAUAUCCAACAUUCUGAAGGGGUGAAGAAACACGUUGAUCUGGAUGGAUUUGGAGCAACAUGCCAUAUGUUCUGAUCUUUCAACAGCCCAUGCAUGGACUCUUUCCCACAGACUGCCACUUGGAGAUGUGAGGGUUACAUAGCAUAUUGGGAUUAAAAGAGUUCCCUACAUAGUUCAGAAAAGAUAUAUACAGUACGCAUGAUUGGAGAAUUGACACGUAAGUUGCCAUGUUGAUAAGGAUUGAAGCACACAACCGUAUUCCCCACCAUCAAGGGGACUGACACACAUCAUUGAACACUAGCAUGUACAUUGAGUGCAAGAGAGGGCGACUGCAUCAUUGAUUCUCUAGGGACUAGUAGCCAUAAAUUCUUUUCAAAGUGGGUUGCUGAUUACUACUCAAAAAGAGCAUAUUUUAGAUAAUAAUUCUCAUGAUUUUCACGUCUUUUGAGUAGUAAUUAUGCCUAAAACACUCAAUUAACAUGUUGUCUCCCUUGCAAGAGUUACUAACAAGUUUUAUGAAGUUUUGAAGUCAUUUCAAGGUAUUUUUUUGAUAAAUUGGUGACAAAAGAGAUGAAUCAAAUUGAAAAAAACAAAUAAAGUUGAUGAUGAUCCAAAUGCAUAAUGAAAAAAGCAAUGCAAUCGGUUUGGAUCGGGAUUUGGAGGUAGUUGAUGUGGAAUCAAGAGAAAGAAAUGAGAGAAAUUGCAAAGAGGAAUCGAAAAAGCAUGUUUUUCAAUUUUGCAUGACCAUGCGAAAUUUUCGCACAGUCAUGCGAAAUGAAACAUAAUAGACUUGGCUGCAGCACACAAAGGAAACGUGAAAAGUGAUUUCGCAUAACCAUGCGAAGUUUUCGCACAGUCAUGUGAAACGCUCCAGGAAGACGAAAAUGAAGCUGAUGGACUUUCCACUUCGCACCAUCAUGCGAAAUUGCUGGGGGCUCAUGCGAAAAUGCAUUUUCUCCAAAUUCCUUGAUGAAUAAGCAUCCGGAAGACCUCUUAGAUGAUGUCAAGUGUCCUCUUGACCUUGGCCUAUAAAUAGAAACGUGAUUGACUCAUUUGAGGACUUUUGAUACAUUUUCUAAUUGUAGAACUUUUUUGAUUUCUUUUCUCUAUAUAAUUCUCUACUUUCCUUCAUUUUCUCUCAUUUUCUCGGUAGCCAAACAUAUCUUGUGAGAUCAAAUCUCCAAGCAUGAGUGGCUAAAUCUCAUUUUUCUCGGAAGAGGGAGGAUCUAGAGGUAAGAUCUAUGGUGAAUAAGAGAAUUGAACUUGAAUUGCAAAGGUAAUUUGAUCCAAUUGAUUGAUUAAUUGAAAUUUGGGGAUUUUUCUCUUCAAAUUGUCUUGGAUGAUUACUAAAAUGCAAGCUAGGUAGAUUCAUCAAAUUCUUAAUGCUAGAUUUGAUGAAAUUGAAUAGUUGCAUAGUAUGAAUCAUUGGAAGAUAAUUUAAGAUGAAUUGAAUAUAUGAUUCAAAUUGAUCUCUUGGAUUAGAUUACCUAAUUUGAAGAGAGAUUAGAUCUAGACCUAAAGCUAAAUCAAAAAUUGGUUUAGAUGAAGAUUUAGGUUUUCAAUCUAACUUAAUGAAAAUUAGAUCUCAACGCCUAUUCACCAUAGAAAUUGCUCUCUAGAAAAUCCUAACUCCAAGAAUCUCACCUCUUAUUAAUUUUCUUCUCUUUUACACUUCAUUUUCCUCUCAAUUUGAAAGCAUUGUUAUUAUGAAAUUUUAUCAUGCAUUUUCAAAUCAAUUUCAUUUGAUCACAAUCAUUUCUUAUCAUCUCAUUUAAGCCUUAAUUACCAAGAAUAAUCCAAUAUUGUGGACGGAAUCCCUAAUGGCUUUGUGGCCCGACCCACACGCUGUGUUAGGUUCUCGUUGCGGGAGAUCUUGGAACGUGCCUGUCGUGUGAAUGCGCAUACAAAUAAGGUCACUAUUCGCCUACUACUAAUAAGGGCGGAUAGUGGAUUCUAGAUUAUAUCUUUUGGGUAGGCUAGACUGGGGUUCUGGGAAAAUCUAUAACCACUAUACUACAGUAGUUUGUACUAAAACCACUUUUUGAUCAGGUACAAAUUGCUAUAGAAUAGUGAAUUGGGUUAUAAAUUUUGUUUUGAUCCAACAAACGACAAAAUCCGAGCGAUCAAAAAUGACGCCAUUGUCGGGGAUGGUGCCAAGGUGAUUAAGGCUAAUUUUUUUGGUGAGGAUUAACCCUUGUGAUCCACAUCACAAGAUUGGUGAAGUUCUCUUUACCAAUUUUCCAUUUUUUUAUUAUUAUUUUUAUUCCAUUUUUUAUAUUUUAUUUUUCUCUUUUGUUUUUUUUUGUUUUGUUUUGGUUUUUCUUAGCUUGUUUUGUAGGCUCUCCAUUGCAUGCUACAUUGAGAAUAGAACUCAAGGGAGAGAUUGAAAAGGACUUAUAUUGCUAAUCAUUUUUGGUUUGUGAUCCAAUUGUUGAGGAAAUGGAAAAUCAAGGGGAAAAUCAACAAACUCAACAAGAACCAAACAAUGGCAAUUCUCACAUGUCUAGAUCAAUGAGAGAAUAUAUGCAUUCACAAAGGAUAGGCAUGGGAUCAUGUAUAGUUCUUCCUAAUGAACCUAUUGUGAUAAAAACUCACUUGGUACCACUUCUACCGCAAUUUCAUGGAAUGGAGAAUGAGAAUCCUUACACUCACAUCAAGGAUUUUGAAGAAGUUUGUCAUACUUUUCGAGAAGGGACUGCAUCCAUAGAGCUUAUGAGAUUGAAGCUUUUUCCAUUCACAUUGAAGGAUAAGGCUAAGUUGUGGUUCAACUCAUUGAGGCCCCAAAGCAUAAGGUCAUGAUUGGAACUACAAACAACUUUCUUGAAGAAAAUUUUCCCCAUACAUCGCACAAGUGGCUUGAAAAGGCAAAUUACCAAUUUUGUGGCAUUGGACAAUGAAAAUUUUUAUGCUUGUUGGGAAAGAUAUAUGGAAGUAGUCAAUGCUCGUCCUCAUCAUGGUUUUGAUACAUGGAUGUUGGUGAGUUACUUCUAUGAGGGCAUGUCGCCAACUAUGAAGCAAUUGCUAGAAACCAUGUGUGGAGGUGACUUUAUGAGCAAAAGUCCCGAUGAAGCCUUUGAAUUUUUGAAUUAUGUGGCUGAAAUAUCAAGGUCAUGGGAUGAGCCACAUGAAAGGGAUUUACACAAGUCCAAGUCUCAAAGCAAUUCAAAAAAAGGGAUGUAUAUGUUGAAUGAAGAUGUUGAUUUACAAGCUAAAAUGAUAGCUUUGACAAAAAGGCUAGAGGAACUUGAAGCUAAGGGAUUUCAUGAGGUGAAUUCGAUAUAUGAUAAUCCAAUUUACAUGGAGCAAUGUUCUAGUUGUCAACCUAUAGAACAUGAAGUGAGUGAUUGUCCUACAAUACCAACUAUGGGGGAAAGACCUGUUGAGAAUCAUCCGAACAUGUCAUGGAAUUGUGGAAAAAAGAUCCUUCCACAAACGACAAAAUCCGAGCUAUUAGCUGCCACGCUGCCACCUUUCAAAUACCACACAUGGAUGCCUUGGAGUUUUAAUUGACGCACCAAGAGAUCCUUCCACAAUUGUAUACAUAGCCUGCAAUGUAAAGGAAGGUGAAAGACAUUGCAACAGUUUGAUUCAAUGAGGAAAGGUAAGUAAAGGUUUUGAGUUUUGGUUUUUAAAAAUUGAAAAUUCGGAAUUUUGUUAAUUAAGCUUCAAUUCUUUGUUUUAGACAAAAAAAAAAAAAAAAAAAGUUAUGAUCUUUGUUUCGAUUUAGUUUUGAUUCUUAUAUUAGUUCGAAAAUGUUUAUUUAUUUUUUUGUUUUAGUUUGAUUCUUUGACUUAGAUUGGAGAAGUUUGAAACUUUGUUUUGGUUUUGGUUUUGGUUCAUCAUGAUAGUUCUAUAAAGCUUGAUAUUUGUUUGGAUUCAUUUUUAUUUUCAAUAAGUUAGAAUUAUGUUAUAUUUGAGUGUUAUAUGGGACGUUAUAUUUGAUUAAAUUGUUAGUUCUCUUUAUCUUUGAUACUUAUUUUAUAAGCACCUUAGAGAAUUCUUGAGUUUGAACUUUCUUUAGAAAAAGUUUUUCAUUAAAUUGACAUUUUGAGUUGAGUCAAAUUUUCUUUUUUCAAAAAUAAAAUUUUCCAUCAUAAGUUUGGCUCCUUGAUCCCAAAUGAAAGGUAGCCAAAAAGAGGAUCCAAUUUAGUUUUUCUCUUAUUUUCAAAACCCUCUCAAGUUAGAAAUCAAAAAUCUCUAUUUUGUAUCUAUUGUAUGGGAUUUAACAAACCAUUGGGUCCUUUUUUUUUUACUUCCCUUAAAUUCAUUUUCAAAAUCAUUUAAAUCACAAAUAAAAGGUUUUAGAAAACAUUCAUUCUAGCUUUAGGCAAAGAACACACUUUCUAUUAAAAUUAUGCAACUAAUUUCAUUUAAGUUACAUUUCUCCUUUGUUGUUUUUUUUCAAAAAUUUGGUUUUUAUUCACAUAGGUUUGGACUUGUAAUCCCAAAACUAAUGGGGAUACACAGGUAAAACUUACGGAAAUUGAAUGGGGACUUGAUGGAACCCCUACAUAAGAAAAUUUUUCAAAACUCUUUCUUGCUGCCAAUUUUCACUCAACCACUAACCUUCUAGAUUUAAAAUUCGUUUAAGCAAAUUUAGAAUAUUUUUUAAAAAAAUUCCAAAACUUGUAUGACUUUCCUCACUUCUUGAACUUGAAUUUAAAGUUUUGUUUGAUUUAGAAAGUCAUUUUAGAAUAGAAGAUAUAAACGAGUCUUUACGGGGGCUCCGUUUUCACCCAAUUCUAGACACUCGAGAUCUUUUUGAAAAAAUAAAAUACAAGAAGACUUUUUAAAUUUGAUUGAAUAUUGUUUCUCAAUUUUAGGCUUCUUGAAAUGGAUCUUAGACACAUAAAAUAUUAAAAAAUAUGUCUUUUUGGGGGAGAUAUGAUUUUUCAAAGUCGUACCUACUGUGAAUACUGGAUUCUGGACAUCUGAUUAGUUGGAGCAUUGUAAAAAUAUUUUUGAGUAUUACCCAACCCUGAAUUUAUUUUUCUUGUGAUAUAGACACCUUGAAAGAUGUAUGUGAUUUUUUUAUGAAUUUAUGUGAUUAUUUAUUAUUUUAAAAAAAUUGUUUAUGCAUGUCACUUUUUCUUAUCUAAUUUGGACUUUGUAGAACCUUUAGGUGUCUUUGUUGCAACCUGUCCUUUGAAUGAGUGUUUGGAUUUCGGUAUGUUGAUCUAGAUGUGUAGGAGUCAUUUCCUGAUAUUUUUCAUAAUUAAAUUCCACUCUAAGCCAUUUUUUUUAGAAAUUGUUUUGUGAUGAUUCCUUUUCUAACAACAUGCUAAUGGUUUUAUACUUUACUUGAAAUUGUUAUUAUUUUCGGAGUCAUUUGAUUUAUCUUAGCUUAAUUUUGGCUUUGGCACUGUAUAUCAAAUAUAAUAAAGAUGUUUUUUGAUAUAUACUUGCCCUAACCACUCUAGCAUUUUUUUAGGAAUCUUAUAAAUUAUGCAUGCUAUCCAGGUACGCUCUCUAUCACUUACUUUUCAGAAUUCCAUGAACAUACAUGUUGUUAUGAGCCUUAUUUAUGCUUGAUAAGAUCCUUAGAUGCCUAGAUGUAUGUUUGAUUUUCUUAGAUAAAAUACAUGUUGUGUGCUAUAUUUUUAUACUAACUUUGAUGUUUUAUGAUAGCGUAUAAGAAGCAGUCUAGGUACACACCUGAUUACUACUCAAAAAGAGCAUAUUUUAGAUAAUAAUUCUCAUGAGUUUCACAUCUUUUGAGUAGUAAUUAUGUCUAAAACACUCAAUUAACAUGUUGUUGCCCUUGUAAGAGUUACUAACAAGUUUUAUUAAGUUUUGGAGUCAUUUCAAGGUAUGUUUUUGAUAAAUUGAUGACAAAAAAGAUGAAUCAAAUUGAAGAAAACAAAUAAAGUUGAUGAUGAUCCAAAUGCAUAAUGAAAGAAGCAAUGCAAUCGGUUUGGAUUAGGAUUUGGAGGUAGUUGAAGUGAAAUCAAAAUGAAGAAAUGGAAGAAAUUGCAAAAAGGAGUUGUAAAACCCUGUUUUUCAAUUUUGCAUGAACAUGUGAAAAAUUCACACAGUCAUGCGAAAUGAAACAGAAUAGGCUUUGGUUGCAGCACACCAGGGGAAAAGUGAAAACUGAUUUCGCAUGACCAUGCGAAAUGCUCCAGAAAGACAAAAUUUGUGCUGAUGCAUUCUCCACUUCGCACAAUUGUGUGAACUUGUUGGGGCUCGUGCGAAACUGCAUUUUCUCUAGAUUCCUUGGUGAAGAAGGCUUCAGAAGACCUCUUAGAUGAUGCCACAUAUACACUUGACCUUGGCCUAUAAAUAGAAACUUGAUUGACUCAUUUAGAAACUUUUGAUACAUUUCCUAAUUGUAGAACUUUCCAGAUUUCCUCUCUCUAUAGAAUUUUCUACUUUUCUUCAUUUUCUCUCUAGCCAAACAUGCCUUGUGAGACCAAAUCUCCAAGCAUGAGUGGCUAAAUCUCGUUUUUCUUGGAGAAUGGAGGAUUUAGAGGCAAGAUCUAUGGUGAAUUAGAGAAAUGAACUUGAAUUGCAAAGGUAAUUUGAUCCAAUUGAUUGAUUAAUUGAAAUUUGGGGAUUUUUCUCUUCAAAUUGUCUUGGAUGAUUACUACAAUGCAAGCUAGGUAGAUUCAUUAAAUUCUUAAAGCUAGAUUUGAUGAGAUGAAUAGUUGCAUUGUGUGAAUCAUUAGAAGAUAAUUUAAAAUGAAUUGAAUAUAUGAUUUGAAUUGAUCUCUUGGAUUAGAUUACCUAAUUUGAAGAGAAAUUAGAUCUAGACCUAAAGCUAAAUCAAAAAUUGGUUUAGAUGAAAAUUUAGGUUUUCAAUCUAACUUGAUGAAAAUUAGAUCUCAAUAUCUAUUCACCAUGGAAAUUUAUUUCUAGAAAAUCCUUACUCCGAGAAUUUCAUCUCCUAUUAAUUUUCUUUUAUUUUACAUUUUAUUUUUCUUCUCAAUUUUAGACCAUUGUCAAAUUGAUUUUUCAUCAUGAAUUUUCAAAUCAAUUUCACUUUAUUACAAUCAUUUCUUAUCCUCUCAUUUAAGCCUUAAUUACCGAGAAUAAUCCAUCCUAGUGGACGACACUUAAAAACCACUAUACUACGGUAGUUUAUACUAAAACCAUUUUUGAUCGGGUAUAAGCUACUCUAGAAUAGUGAAUUAGGUUAUAAAUUUUAUUUUAAUCAAAUAAACGACAAAAAUCUGAGCGAUCAUCACCCUAAAUUUUCUUUCUGGUUUGUAAUUGGUUUUCUUAUUUAGCAUGUUAUUUUUUGGAAAUCACCUUAGUUUACCUAGAUACCCUCAAUCAACCGAUUAAUUGUCACAUUCCCCUUAACUUAGUCAGUAGAGACCUCUUUAAGGCUUAGAGUGGUGCUACCUCUUAGAGGUAUCUUCCCAAUAGGUAACCUGAUCUCUAGACCUUGACUCGGGUUUUUCACAGACACACUUUUCCAAAAACUAUAGAGUCAUUUUUUAGGGUUUUAUUUCUUAUUUUAUUUUUCCUUUAAAAUAAAAAUAAAAUAAGUGGUGACUCCAAUUUUUCUAAAACUAUUUUUUCACAAAUAAAAGCGAGUCUCACGAUCGAGUGGGAGCACACGUGAGAAAUGCUGGUCCACAAAUUGGCGACUCCACUGGGGACUAUGAGGAUCAAACUUGAACACUAUUUGAGGAAAAUGUGGCAUUUAAUCGGUCGAUUAGAAGGUACCUCCUUUUUUAGGUAAGGUUAUCUGAUCUUCUUGCUUGUUUGGUAUGCAUCUUAACAUGUUUAAUUGCCUUGAAUGAUCACUUGACUGAUUUGUUCAUUUUAGCAUGAUUCACUCUCACAUAUGCUAGAAAUGACUUAGUUUGUAUGAUACAUAUCUAUUUCGCAUGACUGUUUGUUGCAUGACAACCAUUUCUCUUGCAUGAUUGCUUGUAUUUGUUUACUAUCUCACUUUAAAUCUUAGGUUUUUCGGAUGCACCUACUUCAUUCACUGUGCACUUUAGAUUAUCCUCGAAUGUUGAGAUAUGAGAUAGCCUUCACCAUUAAGAAACCCCUUGGGAACAUGAGGAAGUGCAUGUGUGCAGGUGAUGACCACUUUGCAUGGAAGCACCAUGUCUCUUUUAAGGUGUGCAGAGGGUUGCGUACCACCGGAGGGUACGAUCGCUUCUGCUAAGGAUCCUUUAACCCACCCAUUUUAUCUUAUAGAGCCACCUUAACCUUAUAGGUUAGCCUAGACCCAAUUAAGAUUUCACUCUUACACGUGGGUGCAUUUGUGGACCUUCUGAGCUGCCUUAGUCACAAUUGGGUUCAGUUACCCUCUUCAUGGUCUCCUUUUGGUGUGCUCAGAGAUUGGUACAUGUUUGUGUUUCAAUUGAGCCACAUUUUUGCAUUGUAAUUAGUGCAUUUCCACCUCUUUUGAGCUUCAUUUGUGUCAUUUAUCUUUUCGUGUCUUUGUACCUUAUAGGAGUGUUAUUCGCUUCAAUUUAGAUUUGACUUCUUAUAUUGGAGUUGGAGAUAGAUUGAUCAGGGUUUCAAAGCAAUCAGGUAUGGAUCCUCAGCAUGAUACAAUUGAUCGACUUACAAUCGCCAUGACUCUAUUCAGGAGGCAUUAGUAGAUUUGAGCCAGAUGAUUGAUAGACGGUGAGAUAGAUCACAUCUAGUUCAUGAUGAGAUGUCAUGUGAUUUAUUGCCUCCCACCACCCAGUUAGCCAGUGACAUUGUUAAGGGUGACAUCGUACAUAUGAUGAGUUUAGUGGAUACUGAGUCAAAGUUCAUCGGAUGAGAGUUCUUAUAGAGGAUGUUGUUUUUUCUCUAAGAUGGAAGAUUUGAUUGACAUGGUUUUCUUCAUGAUGAGCCUGAGAUUGAUGUAUUGGAUUAUAGUUGGAUGGUUAGCACAAAUUAGCUAGAGAUAGUUCACUCUCUUGAUAUGCUUGAAAUCUCCAUCGUUGAGAGUUCAGAAGAGAUUCAGUUUAUUUAUGUUAGGGCAUCCCGCUUAUGUUGAUGAUAUGUUUGAGGACGAUGUUAGCCCAGUUAUGGUCAUAGAGAUUCGUCUAUUCUAGGAGACCCUAGGGACUUACUUAGAGUACACCACAUGUCAUUAGAGAGUUAACCAUAGAGAGGAAAUAUGACUGAUAUAUCUGGAUAGAGACUAAUUCUCAAACCUUACCAAUGUGGAUCAGUUGAAGAAGUAUUACAUUUGAGACCAUGGUCGCAGGAUGGGUGGCCAUAAUUUCGAUUAGCCUUACACUUUAUCACUUCUAUCUAUAUAUUAUAUCGUUGCUAGCCCAUUGAUCCUCAUGUGGUACGUUAAAGCCUUUUUCUCUUUCUUAUAGCCUUGAUUACCAUUUCUACACUCGGGUUGGGGCCCUUUGAUGUAUAUGCAUGAUUUGCUAGGAAAGUCUCAUGAGCUUUAUACUUAUAGACCUAUCUUCUCAUUCUUGUUACUAUUCUCUUAUCAUCCCAUUUGUUUUAUUUUACUAUCACCAUAUUUUCAUUCUUUUUCUUGCUUUUAUCAUUAUUUGCUUUAUUUUAUCUCUUCUCUUCCUUGGGUUGAUGAUUCUUCACAUCUUGGUACAAAAGAAGGUAGUCAUAGCACUUCAUUCAUCCCAUCAUUUGGCAUUGAUUCGGAGAUUUUAGUUUGAGAGGUUGUCUCAUGGGUUGGGGGUUCAUGUAUUCAUUAAUGAUUUGAGAGAGUUUGUUCAUUCCUUACUUCUUUCCCAUUUGAGUUCGAUUUAUUGAUGAUUAAAGCAUGCACAUUAAAAAACAACAAAAACAACAACAAAACAAAAAAACAAAAAAAAAUCAAAAAAAAAAAAAUGCAAUGAUAUGUUUGUGUAUGGUAUCUUGCUCCAUUGGGCACUUAUGUCACCUUUUGAGGUCUAUUUAUUAGGCAUAUUUGUCAUUAUGAGUUCUUGUGAGAUUUUUAUAUGAGUUUCCACUCCUUGAGCCACUCUUGUUAUGCAUUAGGAGUGUCAAGGGUUCAUGUGAGUGUUCUAUGAGAUCCUAUACUUCUUGGAUCAUGGUUGAUAUGCAUUAGGUAUGAAAGAUAAGUGACCUUUUACUAGGGUCUUUGAAUCAUUGUCUUAUCCAUCAUUCCAUCAUUGGUGAUAUGACUUUCUUUUAUUGUACUGAUAUGGGUUGAUCAUCAUUCAUUCCACUUUCUCAUUGCCUUAUUUUGUAUCUCAUCACCUCUUUCCAGAUCUUCAUUCCACUUUUUAUCCAUUCCCUACAUAUUGAUACACAUUACAAAUUCGAUAUCUUCUUCACAUCAUUCACAUGUUUCAUUGAUGGUUUGACCACUCAUCAUUUUUCUUGUUUCACCAUCAACAUUUUCUUUGGUUACCUUUAAGUCUAUGGAUCAUGAGAUUUUUCUAUUCAUUACAUCUUGUACACGAGGGUAUGGGUUUGAUCAUUGGGUAUUUGAGCCUAGUUUCCCUUCAUUUCUUAUACCUUAUCACCCUGGCUUACGUUACAUCUCAUGUCUUAAGACCACCCUAAGGCCAUGAGAUCAAAUGCUAUCUUUGAUAGCCUCUACUUAGGCUGGUGUUUGGGAUUUGGUUGACAUAUAGACGUCGUCCUAUUUUUUCUUCUAGGGGAUGCUUCUUUGAUGCUUGGAGGUGAUUUAGUGAUGGAUGUAGACAAUUGCUUCAUCUUAUAGAUGAUAUUUAAUGUCGUCUGGCUCCCCAUUCUACUGUGUAUCAACUAUCAUACUGGGGCAUAUUCCCCUUUCAUUUGGUUGAGAUGAGCCCCUACUUUGAGCAUUGGCAUUUUCAUCGAUCAAAGUUCUCUAAUGGAGCAUUGUUGAGCUCAUUAACGAUUUUCAUGAUUCUAGGUUCCAUUUGCGGAGUAUUUCUGAGAUGGACUAGUAGAUUAUUGUUGAGCUGGGGAUAGCUGAUUGAUGAUGUUUGAUUCAUUCUUUGUUGUGCACCAGAUAUCCACACUGGGGCAUAUUUCUCCUUUUUUCGAGAUCCUUAGUCGUGGUUGGGUUGUGUGGCUAUCCUUGAUCUUGAUUAUUAAGAUGCUUGAUUGAUGUUAGUAGAUGGUUUAUUGAUGAUGAAAAAUGUGUGACAGGUGAUGUCAUAUUCUUUGUUGUGUACUAGAUAUCCAUACUGGGGCAUAUUCUCCUCUCCUUGUCAAGAUUUUGUUUGCACAGUGGUAUGAGGACGAAUGAUUGAUGUUGGUUAUUUACCUCAUGACUUUGACAUCAGAUCUUAUACUAGUGCAUAUUUCUCCAUUUCCUUUUAGUAUCCUUGAGAUUAGGACAACAGUCAUCUUGGUUUUAGAUUGAGUACUAGUAUGGGGCUUCCGACGAUUGACUGUAUCAGGACCUCCCUACAUGGAUUUGUUGAGACAGAGAUGGAUUACAUCAAGUUUCAUUCGAGGAGCAUAGGUGGAUCCUUUAGCCAGAUGCUCAUGAGAUAUAUUGUUUUGGUCAUUGAUUACCUUGCCGGUUGGGUUAUCCAGAUGAGCGGUAUUUUUAUGCACUUUGAGAUUUUCUUUUAGAUAAGUCGCGUUUACACACUCCAAGAUUUACGUUUUGAGAUUCGUCAACAAAGAAGCUCUUGAGACAUAGAGAGUUCUUUCAGUUUAGAUUUCUCAGAGGUUCGUCAUGAUACAUUGGUUUCUAACCCAUUGAUUUCAGCGGAUGAUUGAUUUACUACGUGUUUCAGCAAUGUGAACACAUUGGACACUAGGGCAUAUUUCCUUUCCUAAGCCUAGUAGUCCAACCCCUUGCAUUUUGAGCAUACGACUUUUAGCCCAUUUGCUUCUCAUCCACUUUCGAGUUGGUCUUCUUUAUUCGUGACAUUUAGAGCCCAAAGCUCUCGACCUAGAGUCGUUUUUCAUUCAUGACCCAAAGUAAUUUCUUUUCCAUUUAGAGCUCAGAGCUCACGACCUAGAUUUGUUUUUAAUUUAUGAACCAGAGUCAUUUUUUUUUCAUUUAGAGCCCAGAGCUCUCGACCUAGAGUCGAUUUUUCAUUUAUGACCUAGAGUCAUAUCUUUUCCAUUUAAAGCCCAGAGCUCACGACCCAGAGUCGUUUUUCAUUUAUAACCCAGAGUCAUUAUUUUCCAUUUAGAGCCCAGAGUUCUCGACCCAGAGUCAUUUUUCAUUUAUAACCUAAAGUCAUUUCUUUUCCAUUUAGAGCUCGAAGCUCUCAACUUAUAGUCGAUUUUCAUUUAUGACCCAAAGUCAUUUAUUUUCCAUUUAGAGCCUAAAGCUCACGACCUAGAGUCGUUUUUCAUUUAUGACCCAAAGUCAUUUCUUUUCCAUUUAGAGCCCAGAGCUCUUGACCCAGAGUUGUUUUUCAUUUAUGACCUAGAGUUAUUUCUUUUCCAUUUAGAGCCUAGAGCUCACAACCCAGAGUCGUUUUUCAUUUAUGACCAAGAGUCAUUUCUUUUCUAUUUAGAACCUAGAACUCACAACCUAGAUUCAUUUUUCAUUUAUGACCUAGAGUCAUUUCUUUUCCAUUUAAUUAGAGCCCAACACUCUCGACCUAGAGUCAAUUUUUUCAUUUAUGACCUAGAGUCAUUUCUUUUCCAUUUAGAGCCUAGAGCUCACGACCUAGAGUCGUUUUUCAUUUAUGACCCAAAGUCAUUUCUUUUUCAUAUAGAGCUCAGAGCUCUCGACUCAAAGUUGUUUUAAAUUUAUGACCCAGAGUCAUUUUUUUUCAAUUUAGAGCCUAGAGCUCUAGACCUAGAGUCGUUUUUCAUUUAUGACCCAGACUCAUUUCUUUUCCAUUUAAAGCCCGAAGCUCUCGACCCAAAUUCGAUUUUCAUUUAUGACCCAAAGUCAUUUCUUUUCCAUUUAGAGCUCAAAGCUCUCGACCCAGAGUCCAUUUUUUAUUUAUGACCUAGAGUCAUUUCUUUACUUUUUAAUACUUAAUAGAAAUAAAAUAUUACAAAGACAAAAACCUAAUAUUUAACACUAUUAACUAUUAAGUUAUAUUUAGAAUUAAGUAAAAAAACAAACACCACCUUAGUGUUCAGAUAAAUGAAGACAGACACGCCCCGUGUAAUGGGCAAUUGGGCGCACCAAAUUUGUAAUCCUAAGGCCAAACACCAAGUUCUAUGUUGACCUGUUGUACUUGUCAAAUGGAUGUUCGAUCUGAGAAAUGUUUUCAAAAAUAAUUUUUAGAAACAAAAUUUUAGAAUAAUUUUUAAAUAUUGUGCUAUAAUAUUUUAUAAAGUAGAAGUUUGUUUAGAAGCCCUAAAAUAUUUUUACUUCCAAUGCAUGUAACAUUUAAAAUUUUUUAUUAAAAUAAUUAUUUUCAAAUAUUAAAAAUAUUAAAAACGUUUCCUAAAAUCAAUAUCAAAUAUAUUUUAAAUAUGUUUUAAAAUGUAAUUUUGCAUGUAAUAUUUUAUGUUUUUAUUAUUAGUAUUUAUAUAAUUACUUUUAAAAUAGUUUUUCAAAAAUAAAUAAAAAUAAUUAAAAAAAAUUUAUUUAAAAAUACCUUAUAAAAAAACUUUGUCCUAUUUUCUGAUUAUGAAAUUUGAUUCUCUUUUUUUUUUUUUAUAUUAAAGAAUAGAAUAUUAUUCUAUAAACAUAGUUAACAAAGUGGUCUGAAUUCCCAGAUUGUCUCCCUAUUUUGGAAUUAUGAUGGGCGGCCUUUCUGUGGCAGCAGGAGGCUCAGUGGGCGGAAUGGAGCCCAUUUUGCAAGCAGGCCACAAAGUCGUUUGCUUUUCGUGAUUGUACUAGAAAUUUCUCUUGAUUUGAUGGCAAGAAAUCAUUGGUUUCAUUUCAAAUAUAUAAAUAAUAUAAUCAUCAGAAUAACGUUUUGGAAAAUUAGACAUUUGUGAAGAUAUAAAUAUAUAAAAUUUUAUCAGAAAUUGGUAGUUAAAAAAUGUUAUUAAAAAAAGGAGGGGAAAAUAUUGAUGGAGUUGAAGACGACAGAAGCUGGCCUAAUUUCAUAAGUCUUCAAAUUCUAUGCAACUUGAGUGUCUCCAAAAUUUAGAAUUUAAAAAUUCGUCCCAAGCCUAACUUUUGUUUACUUAAUUAAUCAAAUGUCUGCCGUGCUAUUAGACCAUCCAACCUCCAUCCUCCCUAUAAAUACCCUCAAAUCUUCAAACCAAGACCAUUCACAUUUUCACAUCUCCCCUCACUCACCUCCUCUUCUCUUCUUCGUCUCGAUCCUCUCCCCAACAUGAAGUCCCUAAAGCUCGUUAUUCUCAUGCUGGCCCUGCUCUUGGUCAUGGCUGAUAUACGCUCAGUCUCAUCAGCUGAAGAAGAAGACUUCAUGUUUCAUCUAGACCAGGAUGACAGCAUCGCUGCUGAAGCUGAAAAUUCUGAUCAACUUCCAUUACUUGAAAGCGAGCAGCCGAUAUCGCUUAGGGGGACUAGCCGCUUUCUGACGGAGGCGGCCCGGAUCAAGGUGACGUGCGACAAGUACCCUACAGUAUGCCGAGCCAAGGGAAGUGCAGGGAAGUACUGCUGCAAGAAGAAGUGUGUGAAUGUGAGGACGGACAGGCUCAACUGUGGGGCGUGUGGGAAGAAGUGUAGGUACUCUGAGAUUUGCUGCAAAGGGGAGUGCGUCAACCCUUCUUCAGACAGGAGGAAUUGUGGGGGCUGCGGCAAGAAGUGUAAGAAAGGGAGUCUCUGCGUGCAUGGGAUGUGCAGCUACUCGUAGAUUUCUGAGCAUUGUUGCUUUACAUGGUAAAAUUUCUAUAUUCAUGUAACUAUGGCGAGCCAUCACCAUUUGAUGGGCUUGCAAAUCCGAGUUUUUUCAUUUGUUUUUUUUUUUUUUCUUCUGAUUCUUCGUGAGGUCUUUACUGGUAUAGAUGACAACAAUGAGCUAGUUCACAGUGCCUGAAAUCCAAGACACUUCUUCUCUGCCGGACUGGCCGCUUCCUGCUCAUUACUGAGCAAGGAGAGAAGGAUUGCAGGAACUGUGGAUGGAGUGUGUAGUUACAAAUAAUAAUUGCAUGUAUACUUCAUAUGAUGGAAAGCGGAUCGUGUUGAUGAUUCGUUCAAUAAAAGGAACAUAUGGGAUAUGCUAUUAUCCUCCAUUGUUGAAGUAUGAUAUCUUGCUUUUGUUGGCUAUAAAAAAUUACUCAACAGAAAUCAGAGAUAAUAAUACAAAUUAAAAAGAUACAAUGCAAAUCUCUUAAUCUUCUUAAGAACAUAAAGAUUACAUAAUCCACCAAUAGAGGUACACAGAAGUUUUAACCUAAUUUAAUAUGAUCAUAUCCACGUGAAUUCUUAAUAAUCUAUUGUAAUAUAAAAAAUAUUAUAAAGAACAUGAUAAGAUAUAAUGAUUAGAUUUCAAAAUAUCUUACAUUCUUUUCCAAAAUAUCUUAUUUUUUUCGAUUAAACUAAUGAUCCCCUCUUCCUCAUCUAAAAUAUUUAUAGAUAUUCUUAAUUUAUAAAAGUUCCAUUAUGAUGAUAUAUGAAUUUAAAAUAUGUUUUUUUUAAUGAUAUUAGGAAUUCGUGACAUUUUUAAGUGCAAAACAAACCGUACCCUUGACUUCUAUUCCCUUUCUAUGUAUGUGCGUAUCUCAUCCUUAAUUGAGUACAAUAUUUGUUCCCGCUGAUAUAACCAAAAAAAUCUUCAGCCUAUUGUUUGUAUGGGACGUCCAAAUUAUAUGAAUGGAACUAUAGCUCUGUUGGCUUUUAGCUGAUGUAGAUUGUCAGUACUAUUUGUUGCAAUUAGAAUUACCUGGAAAUUGAGAACACUAUUGUAAAAUACCAAAAUUACAUGAAUAUUGGUUAAAUAGUAAAAACAUACAUCAUUAUUGUAUGCUUGGUUUAUGCGGUUUGUGUGCAUAUCAUUCUCUUUAAACAAAUUGUCGGGUUACAACAAUAUGUUCGAAAAUAGAUCAUCCAAACGAGAGUUCUUAGGAUAGGUUAAUUGUGGAAUGUGAUGACAAAUAUUAUGAAAGAUUUUAUUUGCUCUCACUAAAUAUGAAUUGACUUUUGAUAAGACGAUCAAAAACUUGAUUCACAGGUUAGUAUUGUAUAAUAUAUUGAUAUAUUAUUAUCUUAUUUGUUAAAACUCACGUGCAACCCUAUAGAAGUUGGCUCAUGAGACAAAAUCAUGACUAAGCUUUAAUAUAAAUAUAACUAUGUAAGUAACUAAGGACAUUACCCAUAAGAAGUAAUUACCAUGAUAUACAUGAUCGCUUGGAUUUUUGUCGUUUAUUGGAUCAAAACAAAAUUUAUAACCUAAUUCACUAUUAUAUAACAAUUUGUACCCAAUCAAAAAGUGGUUUUAGUACAAACUACUGUAGUAUAGUGGUUUUUAGGUAUCGUCCACAAGGAUGGAUUAUUCUCGGUAAUUAAGACUUGAACGAGAUGAUAAGGAAUGAUGGUGAUCAAAUGAAAUUUACUUGAAAUUGCAUGAUAAAAUCUCAAGAUAGCAAUGUAUUCAAAUUGAAUUGAAAAUGAAGUGUAAAAGAGAAGAAAAUUAAUAAGAUGUGAGAUUCUCGGAGUAAGGAUUUUCUAGAGAGCAAUUUCCAUGGUGAAUAGAUGUUAAGAUCUAAUUUUCAUCAAGUUAGAUUGAAAACCUAAAUUUUCAUCUAAACCGAUUUUUGAUUUAGCUUUAGAUCUAGAUAUAAUUUCUCUUCAAAUUAGGUAAUCUAAUCCAAGAGAUCAAUUUGAAUCAUAUAUUCAAUUCAUCUUAAAUUAUCUUCCAAUGAUUCACACAAUGCAACUAUUCAAUUUCAUCAAAUCUAGCAUUAAGAAUUUGAUGAAUCUACCUAACUUGCAUUGUAGUAAUCAUCCAAGACAAUUUGAAGAGAAAAAUCCCCAAAUUUCAAUUAAUCAAUCAAUUGGAUCAAAUUACCUUAGCAAUUCAAGCUCAAUUCUCUAAUUCACCAUAGAUCUUGCCUCUAGAUCCUCCCUCCUCCGAGAAAAACGAGAUUUAGUCACUCAUGCUUGGAGAUUUGAUCUCACAAGGCAUGUUUGGCUACCGAGAAAAUAAGAGAAACUGAAGGAAAGUGGAGAAUUAUAUAGAGAGAAGAAGUAUGAAAAGUUCUACAAUUAGAAAAUGAAUCAAAAGUAAGGUUUUUAAAUGAGUAAAUCCCGUUUCUAUUUAUAGGCCAAGGUAAAAAGGACACUCAGCAACAUUUUAGAGGUCUUUCGGAUGCUUCUUCAUCAAGGAAUCUGGAAAGAAUGCAUUUUCGCACGAGCCCCUAGCAAUCUCGCAUGAUGGUGCGAAGUGGAGGAUCCAUCAGCUUCAAUUUCGUUCUUCUGGAGCAUUUCGCAUGAUUGUGCGAAAAUUUCGCAUGGUCAUGCGAAAUCACUUUUUCAUAAUUUCCCUAUGUGCUGCAGCCACAACCUUUCUAUUUCAUUUCGCAUGAUUGUGCGAAAAUUUCGCAUGAUUGUGUGAAAAUUUCGCAUGGUCAUGCGAAAUUGAAAAUCAUGCUAUUUCGGCUCCUCUUUGCAAUUUCUCUCAUUUCUUCAUGUUCAAUCCAUCUCCACCACCUUCAAUUAAGCUCCAAAUCCCAAUCCAAACUGAUUGCAUUGCUUCUUUCAUUAUGCAUUUGGAUCAUCAUCAACUUUAUUUGUUUUCUUCAAUUUGAUUAAUCUCUUUUGUCACCAAUUUAUCAAAAUUAUACCUUAAAAUGACUCCAAAACUUCAUAAAACUUGUUAGUAACUCUUGCAAGGGCAACAACAUGCUAAUUGAGUGUUUUAGGUAUAAUUACUACUCAAAAGAUGUGAAACUCAUGAGAAUUAUUAUCUAAAAUAUGCUCUUUUUGAGUAGUAAUCAUUCCCCCCAACCAACACAUGCUAGUCCCUUAGCAAUGGUAUAACAAAAGAAAACAAAAAUAAUACCAAACAAAAGAAAUCAUAAGUCACAUAAGAAAAUCAUUUGAAAAAAAAAAAUCUUUGAAAUUUCCAUAGCAUAAAUGGUUGAUAAACAAGCACACCCUACUAUCCAUAGGUAUCAACAAAAUCCCAACUUAUUUACUAUCUCUAAUAGAAAGAAUAUCAUGGAAGUCAAGGUAUCAAAAACAUAUCCAUUUUCAUUUCCCAAACAAUCUUUCCAAACAAGUCUUGAGUGUAAUUAAGCUAACUCCCGAAUAUAGUACUCAAAACUAAUCCUCCCCCCCAGCCUAACUCAAAUUAUCUCAAACAACAAAAAUCACUCUCUCAUAGGUCAAGAACGCACCUAUCUUUAUUUUAUUAUUUUUUUUUUCAAAGGACUUAUUGUAGGAGUGCAAUGCUAAAGGUAUCUCCAAGUAUAUGGUCCAUGUAGCGGGGAUUCAUCGAUGACUCCCAACCAUAAGGCAUAGGGCACCAAGUUUAUAGGACUAUUUAACCAGCCACUAACUUCUCAGACUUCACCCCGGACUCCUCAAAUUAGGAUCCAAUACCUUAGCACCUACAAUUGAGCUCAUACUCCACCUAUCCACCCAUGUAACAAGCAUUGAGGUCGGUGGCUCCCAACCAAAAUGGCUUAGGGCACCAGGCUUUAAAGACCUUUGGGCCAUAUACCCCUCGGACCUUGCUCAGGUUUCAAGGCAAGCAUAACUCAACCUUUUUAUUCAUCAACUUUUUUUUUUUCAAUUGGCCAUAUUGGCCUCUUUUUAAGGUGUCUCAACUCAAUUCAAGAGUAAUCAAUGUUACAAGACAAUUAAGUCCAAGUCUUAAGGUUAGAAUAGUUUUUCAUCUUAUAUCCGGGGUCUAAAGUGCACAGUAUGUGUCAAGACUCAAAUAGAAAUGACCCUUUGGAAAGUGAAGACUUCAAAGUCAAAUCAACUUUAAUUCACAUAACCAAUCUUCUAAGAUCAAGCAAAUAAGCUAGUAUUCUAAAUCAACUUUUUCCAAGUUAGGUUUGCUCAUUUAUCAAUCACAAAUGCUAUAGUCAUCUAAAAAAAAAUCUCACCAAAUAAGUCACAAAUGUGAUUUAUGAAAAAAAAAAAUUAUAGAAAAACUAAUAAAACUAAUAACAUAUUUCCUUCUCUUCAUUUUUAACCCUCCCCCCAACCUAACUUGUACAUUGUCCUCAAUGUGUAAUGAAAAUAUACAAAGAAAGGAAGGGAAGAUACCUCAAUCUCUCAUGAAUUUCAGCUUCAAUAGCUAAAACAAAAAUAAGACCACAAAUGAGAAUUGUCGGAUAUAAAUGACAUAAGAGAAGAAAAUAUGAAAACAAAUCUAUUAAAAACCAAAAAAAAACUAUGUUAGAAACACAAUGUAUGGAGUAAAAUCAAGGUAUAGAUGAUGACAAUGUCCAAAGAAAACAUGAUUUCAAUGAUAAGUUAAAGAUUAUCAUGGAGUUUUUGAAAAUUUCACACAAGUGUGCAAACUAGACAAGAAGGUGAAGUGUGUUGCAACCACUUUCUUCUUUUGAAAGAACUUGGCACAAUCAUGCGGAAAUUUGCAUGUACAUGCGAAUUAGUCAAGAAAGUUCUAUCUUAUUAUAACCUUCAACAAAAUUUCACAUAGUCAUGCAAAAAUUCGCAUGCUGAUGCGAAAUGCUCAAAAGGGUUCAUUUUUGCAACUAUCAUUUUCAGUUUUUGCACAGUCAUGCGAAAAUUUCGCAUGACUAUGCAAAUUGUGAUAGAAACUCAUUUUGCACAUUUCCAAAGGUAUGAAAACUCCCCUGUUUUGGCAUGAAAACUCCUCUGUUUUGGCAUGAUUCCCCUUGGCAUGACUGUGCUGUUUUGGCAUGACUGUGCAAAAAUGGUGAUGGACCAUAAAAACUCAUUUUUCCUUUGCUUCAUGCAUUCCAUCCAUCCGGAAAGUCCUUCAAAACACAAAUCAAAGAAUUGAGAUGAAUUUAUUUAAUGGAAACUAAAAAAAAUCAAAAUAAAAUAAAAAAAUCAAAAUUCAAAGGAGACUAAAGAAAUGAGAAGCCAUUGGGCUAGCUAGCCAUUGACAUGACUAAGCCCAUUAACAUUUGCAUCAAUACUCAAUUUGGAUAUGGCUUGCAAACAAUGAAUGGACCAACUCCUUGGUACUUAAGCUUUCCCGGAAAAAUAUGUGGCUUGAAAUAGCCUUCUUUGAACUUGUUCUUUUGUAUAAGUUGGUCAUGCCAUUCCUUGAGUUUCUUUUUCAUGGUCUUUGGAUUAUUUUUCAUACCAUGCUUCAUGGUUUUCACUUUCUUGAAACUGAAAGACCAUUUCAUUAACUUCAAAGGUUGAAUUUCUUCAUUGAUCCUCCAAACUUCAAUCCGUUCAUUGGAAAUUACUUCACCAAGUUUUGAAAAAUUAUCUUCAACCUUUUCUUUCACUAGCUCUUCCAUAGGCAAUUCAAUCAAAUAAGCCUCCUUAAGUUCCUCAUCCUCUUUGGUACCAUGCUUCUUAUAUGAAUGAAAAAUGUUCAGCUCAAUUGUCCUGUUACCAAAGGUAAGUUGCAUCACUCCACUUUGACAAUUAAUCAAUGCAUUUGCUGUGGCAAGGAAAGGUCAGCCAAGUAUAAUAGGAACAUGGUUGAGUCCACUAGUUCCUUGUUCCGUAUCAAGCACCACAAAAUCAACCAGAUAAUAGAAGUUAUCGAUUUGGAUCAACACAUCUUCAAUAAUUCCUCUUGGAAACUUAACCGAUCUAUCCGCCAAUGAAAGUGUGAUGGAAGUAGACUUUAGUUCUCCAAGCCCCAAUUGCUUAUAUAUCGAGUAAGGAAGAAGAUUCACACAUGCACCCAAGUUUAAAAGUACUCUUUUCACAAAAGUGUUGCCAAUCUUCACUGAGAUAGUUGGACAUCCCGGAUCCUUAUACUUGAUUGGAGUCUUGCAUUGGAUGAUUGCACUAACUUGUUCAGUCAAUAAAGCUUUCUUUUUCAAAUGCAUCCCUCUCUUUAUGGUACACAAAUCCUUAAGAAACUUGGCAUAGGUUGGAACUUGUCUUAUCAUGUCAAGGAGUGGUAUAUUAACUUUGACUUGCUUGAGAACUUCAAAAAUUUCUGGAGCAUUAUUUACCACUUUCUUGGAUUGAAGAGCCAUGGGAAAAGGUGGAGCUAAGAGCAUAUCUUUCUUCUUAACCUCUUCUUUAACAAUCUCAUCUUCCUUUGAUCUAUUAUCAUCAUUCACCUCUUUUCCUUUUUCUUGUUCUUUCACAUUUUCCUUUUGUUCCCCUCUUUUAUUCUCUUUUGGUUUUGGCAUAGGUUGAUCAACUUGCUUACCACCUCUUAAGGUAAUGACUGCUUUGACUUCAUCCUUCUCAAUAGAACUUUCACUUGUCUCUCCAAUUUCAUGGACUCCACUUGGAUUUUGUUGGGGUUGUGAAGAGAAUUUUCCUUUUUCUUGCACCGUAUGCAUGCUUGUGAGUUUAGAAAUAACAAGUUGCAUAUUAUCAAUCUUUUGUGUGAGAUUGGUUUGCAAGCUAUCAAAUUUCUGAUUGAAAGAUGUCUCCACAUGAUCUAUCAUUUGGUUUACUUGAGUAUUGAUAUUCUUUUGAUCACCAAUAAAAUUUCCCAAAAUUUUACUCAAGUUUACAAUAGCUUGCUCAACUAAAGAAACUUGUUGUGGAGAGUCUUCCAUGAAUUGUUGGCUUUGUGAGUGUUGCCUUGAAGAAAAUUGCUCUUGUUCACAAUUCCAUGACAUGUUCAGAUGACUCUCAACAAGUCUUUCCCCCAUGGUUGGUAUUGUAGGACAAUCACUCACUUCAUGUUCUAUAGAUUGAUAACUAGAACAUUGUUCCAUGUAAAUUGGAUUAUCAUAUAUUGCAUUCACCUCAUGAAAUCCCUUAGCUUCAAGUUCCUCUAGCCUUUUUGUCAAAGCUACUAUUUUAGCUUGUAGAUCAACAUCUUCAUUCAACAUAUACAUUCUCCCUUUUGAAUUGCUUUGAGACUUAGACUUGUGUAAAUCCCUUUCAUGUGGUUCAUCCCAUGACCUUGAUAUUUCAGCCACAUAAUUCAAAAAUUCAAAAGCUUCAUCGGGACUUUUGCUCAUAAAGUCACCUCCACACAUGGUUUCUAGCAAUUGCUUCAUAGUUGGCGACAUGCCCUCAUAGAAGUAACUCACCAACAUCCAUGUGUCAAAACCAUGAUGAGGACAAGCAUUGAUUACUUCCAUAUAUCUUUCCCAACAAGUAUAAAAUUUUUCAUUGUCCAAUGUCACAAAGUUGGUAAUUUGCCUCUUCAAGCCACUUGUGCGAUGUAUGGGAAAAAAUUUCUUCAAGAAGGUUGUUUGUAGUUCCAACCAUGACCUUAUGCUUUGGGGCCUCAAUGAGUUGAACCACAACUUAGCCUUAUCCUUCGAUGUGAAUGGAAAAAGCUUCAAUCUCAUAAGCUCUAUGGAUGCAGUCCCUUCUUGAAAAGUAUGACAAACUUCUUCAAAAUCCUUUAUGUGAGUAUAAGGAUUCUCAUUCUCCACUCCAUGAAAUUGAGGUAGAAGGGGUACCAAGUGAGUUUUUAUCACAAUAGGCUCAUUAGGAAGAACUAUACAUGAUCCCAUGCCUAUCCUUUGAGGAUGCAUAUAUUCUCUCAUUGAUCUAGACAUGUGAGAAUUGCAAAUGUUUGGUCCUUGUUGAGUUUGUUGAUUUUCCCCUUGAUUUUCCAUUUCCUCAACAAUUGGAUCACAAACCAAAAAUGAUUAGCAAUAUAAGUCCUUUUCAAUCUCUCCCUUGAGUUUUAUUCUAGCAUGCAAUGGAGAGCCUACAAAACAAGCUAGGAAAAAUCAAACCAAAACAAAAAGAACAAAAUAGAAAAAUAAAAGAUAAAAAAUGGAAUAAAAAAAUAAUUAAAAAACAUGGAGAAUCGGUAAAGAGAACUUCACCAAUCUUGUGAUGUGGAUCACAAGGGCUAAUCCUCACCAAAGAAAAUGCCUCAAUCACCUUGGCACCAUCCCCGGCAACGGCGCCAUUUUUGAUCGCUCGGAUUUUUGUCGUUUAUUGGAUCAAAACAAAAUUUAUAACCUAAUUCACUAUUCUAUAGCAAUUUGUACCCGAUCAAAAAGUGGUUUUAGUACAAACUACUGUAGUAUAGUGGUUUUUAGGUAUCGUCCACAAGGAUGGAUUAUUCUCGGUAAUUAAGGCUUGAACGAGAUGAUAAGGAAUGAUGGUGAUCAAAUGAAAUUUACUUGAAAUUGCAUGAUAAAAUCUCAAGAUAGCAAUGUAUUCAAAUUGAAUUGAAAAUGAAGUGUAAAAGAGAAGAAAAUUAAUAAGAUGUGAGAUUCUUGGAGUUAGGAUUUUCUAGAGAGCAAUUUCCAUGAUGAAUAGAUGUUAAGAUCUAAUUUUCAUCAAGUUAGAUUGAAAACCUAAAUUUUCAUCUAAACCGAUUUUUGAUUUAGCUUUAGAUCUAGAUCUAAUUUCUCUUCAAAUUAGGUAAUCUAAUCCAAGAGAUCAAUUUGAAUCAUAUAUUCAAUUCAUCUUAAAUUAUCUUCCAAUGAUUCACACAAUGCAACUAUUCAAUUUCAUCAAAUCUAGCAUUAAGAAUUUAAUGAAUCUACCUAACUUGCAUUGUAGUAAUCAUCCAAGACAAUUUGAAGAGAAAAAUCCCCAAAUUUCAAUUAAUCAAUCAAUUGGAUCAAAUUACCUUAGCAAUUCAAGCUCAAUUCUCUAAUUCACCAUAGAUCUUGCCUCUAGAUCCUCCCUCCUCCGAGAAAAACGAGAUUUAGCCACUCAUGUUUGAAGAUUUGAUCUCACAAGACAUGUUUGGCUAUCGAGAAAAUAAGAGAAACUGAAGGAAAGUGGAGAAUUAUAUAGAGAGAAGAAGUAUGAAAAGUUCUACAAUUAGAAAAUGAAUCAAAAGUAAGGUUCUUAAAUGAGUAAAUCUCGUUUCUAUUUAUAGGCCAAGGUAAAAAGGACACUCAGCAACAUUUUAGAGGUCUUUCGGAUGCUUCUUCAUCAAGGAAUCUGGAAAGAAUGCAUUUUCGCACGAGCCUCUAGCAAUCUCGCAUGAUGGUGCGAAGUGGAGGAUCCAUCAGCUUCAAUUUCGUUCUUCUGGAGCGUUUCGCAUGACUAUGCGAAAAUUUCGCAUGGUCAUGCGAAAUCACUUUUUCAUAAUUUCCCUAUGUGCUGUAGCCACAACCUUUCUGUUUCAUUUCGCAUUAUUGUGCGAAAAUUUCGCAUUGUCAUGCGAAAUCGAAAAUCAUGUUAUUCUGGCUCCUCUUUGCAAUUUCUCUCAUUUCUUCAUGUUUAAUCCAUCUCCACCACCUUCAAUUAAGCUCCAAAUCCCAAUCCAAACUGAUUGCAUUGCUUCUUUCAUUAUGCAUUUGGAUCAUCAUCAACUUUAUUUGUUUUCUUCAAUUUGAUUAAUCUCUUUUGUCACCAAUUUAUCAAAAUUAUACCUUGAAAUGACUCCAAAACUUCAUAAAACCUGUUAGUAACUCUUGCAAGGGCAACAACAUGCUAAUUGAGUGUUUUAGGCAUAAUUACUACUCAAAAGAUGUGAAACUCAUGAGAAUUAUUAUCUAAAAUAUGCUCUUUUUGAGUAGUAAUCAAUACAUAAUUGUUCAUUACCAAGGAUUUAAGCAUGUGGGUGAUCACAUAAUACGUUAUAAAGUAAAGUUGUGUCACUCACAUCAUAUAAUUAGCUUAACAAUCACAUCACAUAAUUACUUUAACAGUUGUCAUGUCUUUAUUCCAUUGGACAUUCUCUUCUCCAAAGAGAAGCACUCUGAUAUGUCUUUCUUUAAUUUUCUCUCUUCCUUAUGAUAAAAUUUGAAGCCAUGUUGAUAAAAAUAGAAAGAAAGAAAGGGAUUCUUCUAUCUAUAAUCCAGCUAGAAUAUUGAAGUAAAAGUUUUGUGCAACGUGGGUCAAAUUGAGCAUGCACUAGAGGUGAUACAUGUUAUAUACCCCCAUGAAUUCAAAUUUAAGUUUUCCUUCCAACCAAUUUCAUUAAGAAUAGUUAUAUUCAAGUAGUGGAAUAUUGGAAGUACAUUCAAUAUUUUCAAUUAUUAUAUAAUUAUAUAUGUGAAAUAUUAUUAAAAUAUGCACUAGGUAGUGGCAUAUGUGCAUUUCAAUUUCAAUAAUAUUUAUAUGAUUGAUAUAUGUUAUGCUCAUUAUCGCGAUUGCUUAGUAAAACAUAUUAUAGCUUGAAAUAAUUUAUACAUCAAAAUUACUAGCUACACGUGAAUACAGAAACACUAAGCUUCUAAUUUUCUUUAUUUCAAAUCAAUCGAUUUCUUCUUAUGGGUCAGAUAUUCAGUGUUUCGAGACUAUGACCCAUUUCACCUUAUGAUCAGAGCAGUACCAUAGCUAUAUCCAUAUCCUGAUUUUGUAGACUUGAUGACCUACCCAUUUUGAGCCUGACAUGACACCACACAUUAGUACCAUUAUAUGACCUUACCAUCGUUGUUCAUGUUAGCAUACUAUAGUACCAUUGCCUAUUCUUUCCAUCUUUUCUUUGAUCUAACCAAGUAGAGUCCGAGAUGGUUAGACCUGAGGUGAGCUCUACAUGAUGAUAAAUGGAUCAUGAUGAAAGAGUGGUUUGACUGUUUGAUGAUAUUGCUGAGACAGAGGGGUUAUCAUGGAGCAUCCAGAUUUGAGCCAUUACACAUGACUUCAGAGAGUCGAGAUGACUAAAGAUAGUGAUUUUAUGAGACGAUGGUGAGUGACUUAUGAUGAUAGAGUGAGGUGAUUGUCAAAGAGCUUUGAUGAUUAUCACAAAGCAUCAGUGGGAGCUUUCACACUAUUUCAAAGAAGUUGACAUGACUAUGUUUGAUAGAUGUUAGUCUUUAGUAUUGACCAUGUGAGAUCUUGAGGGUGUGAUGUCUCUGGUUGUGGUUAAAUGAUGGGUGGCCAUUGUUUCAUGAGCUCAUUUACCCUAUUUACUUUAUCACCAUCGCAUAUAGAGUUACCUGUUGCUAACCCUUUGAGCCUCACACGAGCACCAUAGACUUUAAUUUCAUCACUUCAUUUACAUAUUACAUCGGGUUGGGGACCCUAUAGUGUUUACAUGCUUUGAUUAGAUACGUCACAAGUUUUAGACCUGACAUACAUAUUCAGGCCUUAUCUCUCACCCUUCAUUGUAAUAUUUUCCACUUUGACACUAUCUCGUCACUUUUUCCAGCAUCACUUAUCACCACUUAUGAUAUUCAUUCUCUAUCUUUUCUCUAAUCAUUGUUUAAUCGACAUUAUCCUUGUUUCACCUUGAGUGGUGGUUUUUCACACGUCAUUGCAUGGAGGAUUGUCACAUUUUUUUCCCCCGUUCACCCCAUGGGCAGUGGUUCAAAGAUCUCAGUUUGGGAGGUUGUCUUGUUAGUGAGGAUUCAUGUUACAUCCAUAUGUGGAGAGGGUUUGAUCAUUUGGGUAUGUAUUUUCAUUGGAGGUCAUUCAUUAUUGAUCAAAGUAUGCGCAAAAAAAAAACAAAAAACAAAAAACAAAACAAAACAAAGAAUAUAAAAGAUAGCACAUUCUUCAUUGUAUCGUUUUCCAUUGACCACAUGUAUGGAUGUGUUGGUUUGCUUCAUUGAGUUUAUGCGUUAGAGAGAGUUCAUAUGGGAGUUUCUUUUUUAGAUUCUAUCUUAGUAUAUAUUUGGGUUAGAGUAUGAGUCACCCAUUCGAUUUUCGUGAGAGGCAAGCUACAUUUUUUUAGGAUUUCUGGAUUUUUACCCUAUUCGUCAUUACAUCCAUUUUUAUGUGACUACUUUCCAUGUUUAGAUGUAGAUUGACCAUCACUCACUUUCCUAUUUUUUUUGUCUUCUUAUAUCUUUAUUUUAUUCUUUCAUUUCACUCUACUUUAUCUGAUUUCUUUAUUUUAUCAUCCUACUUGAUGUUUGACUUGGGUUCAACAUCCACACUUUAUUCUUGCUUAUUUGAUAUGUCAUUUAUUUAUUAUCAUUUUUCAUGUGGGAAUCCUUAUGUCUGUGACUCAUAAUGUUUUCUACGCAUUGCGUCUCAUGCAUGAGGGGUAUGGGGAUUAUAUCAUUGGGAUUAUUGAGCCUAGUUUCCUCUUGUUUCUUUCACCCUAUUACCUUAGCCUACGUUACGUCCCAUGUCUUAAGACCACCCUGAGGUCGUCACUUCACACAUUGUACUUGACAACUCACACAUGGGCAAUACUUGAGAUUGGUUGGAGAUUAUUUCUUAAAGCAUGAUGAAUGAGGAGCUAUGAUAUGAUUUACAUUGGGGUAUACCCCGCUCAUCGAUGACAGUUUCUUUUGGGAUGAUAUCUUGCACUGGGGCAUAGUUAGUUACUUCUUCACUUGGAUUGUGAUGGAUUGAGAGUUAUGGAAUGACCCUACACUAGGACAUUUUCAGAGAGCACUUUUAUUGGAGAUACAGUCACUCUACUUGAUACUCUACAUUGGGACACAUUCCUCUCAUCAAUGGUUGAUUGUUGAGAUGACGGUUUAUUUUGAGACACGGUUGCUUUAGAGAUUGUGUAUGAUGGACACAACCACUCUGUUAUUUUUAUGGAGGACAGGGUGAUUAGGAUUUGUUUAUAUUAUAUUUGUAUUUUCAUUUUCAACAUUAAGUGAUAAGAUUGACCUUGUUCUAAGGACACAUACUGAGACAUAGCUCUUUCAUUGAUGAUGGACUUUGAUUUAUCUUGGAGCAUGAUCACUUCAAAUAGUUUAUACUAGGACAUAGCCACUUCAUUCUCAUUCAUAGAGCACAUGGAUUUUGAUUCAUAUGAGUUUUUUCUUCUGAUUAUCAAUUAUUAUACUUAAUGAAUAUUGUUUGAUCUUCGUUUUGUCCUUUGAUAUGCAUGUGAUAAUUUUAUACUUGAGCUAACCUUGUUUCCAUGAUAGCGCAUUAUUAUUUGCUGUUAAGAUAUGCUCCCACUCCUACUUCACUUAUUUAUUCGUUCUCAUCCUCGAUUUGUUUUAUUAUUCAAUCAUUUUAUUAGUAUCCAUCGAUUUCCUUAUCAAUUGUCACGUUUGUUUAACCUUAUUUAGUAUAGACCCAUUUUUAGAGGCUUAGAGGGGUGUUAUGGUCUUUAUCGUACCUUUGCAAUAAGCAACCUGACCUCCGAACCCAGGUUUGGUUUUUCACAAACCGUCUUUUCCAAAUAAGAAGUCACACUUAAGGUUUUUUUUUUUCCCUUAAAAUAAAAUAAAAUUAAAUUAAGUGGCGAUUCCAAAUCUUUUCUAAAAAAAAACCAUAUUUUUCAAUAAAUAAAAAAAAUGAGUUUGUCAUUGAGUAGGAACGCAUCGAGCAAAAAUAUGGGAUCCACAUCAACCCAUCUACCCAAAAAAUAAUAUAUAUAUAUAUAUAUAUAUAUAUUUGAAGUAAAUUUUUAUUAUUAUUUUACACUCUCCAAAUAAUUUCUUUAUCUUAUAUCUAAAUUUAUUUCUAUGUACUCAAUUUUAUAUUUUUGUAAUUAAAUCUUAUGCAUUUGUAUCAUCAUUCAACAUUUAGAUUUAAUCAUAUACUUGAGCAUAGUUAUAGACUUCAAAAUUUGUUUUAAAUUUAUUUUUUUAAAUCAAAUUUUCAUAAAUAAAAGUGAAUCUUGUUGGGUACGCAUGUAAAAAACACAAAUCCAUAAUUUCGUAGAUAUACAAAUUGGGCAAAUAUUUCUUUUUCCUAAAAGAAAAUGGUAUACUUUUACCAAAUGGAACAUUCCAAUUUCUUCUAUAAAAUAUAGUCGAUUCUCUUACACUAAUCAAAAUUAAAGAUAUUUUACUGUAAUGUUUCACGCUUGCUUGAGAUUGGAUCAAUUUUUCACUUACACAUUUUUAUUUUUUCAAAGAUGCCCUUAGAUUAAUGCAUGCGAAUGUGUACAAUCAACUGCGCAGACAUUCCAUGUUAACAAAAGUCAAGAAGAUAGGCUAGUUGAAAAUAAGUGCGUCCAUAACGGUUUCUAAGACUCAUACGGUGUUUGUUUUUUUAAUUUUUUAUAAAAAUUAAUUUUUAAAAAAAAAUUAGAUUGUUUAUUUUUUUACUUUUUCAUAACUUAUUAUAAACUUUGUACUAAAUAGAAAAAAUCAAAAUAUAUAAUUUUUUCUAAAUAGAAAAAAUAACAUAUUAGUUUUUUUUUUACUUUUUAAUACUUAAUAAAAAUAAAAUAUUAUAAAAACAAACAACCUAAUAUUUAACACUAUUAACCAUUAAAGUUCUAUUUAAAAUUAAGUAAAAAAACAAAUAUCAUUUUAGUGUUCAGAUAAAUGGAGACAGACCCACCGCGUGUAAUGGGCAAUUGGGCGCACCAAAUUUGUAAUCCUAAGGCCUAACACCAAGUUCUGUGUUGACCUAUUAUACUUGUCAAAUGGAUGUAUGUCGAUAUGAGAAAUGUUUUUAAAAAUAAUUUUGAGAAACAAAAUUUUAGAAUAAUUUUUAAAUAUUGUGCUAUAAUAUUUUAUAAAGUAGAAGUUUGUUUAGAAGCCCUAAAAUAUUUUUACUUCCGAUGUAUGUAACACUUAAAUUUUUUUAUUAAAAUAAUUAUUUUCAAAUAUUAAAAAUAUUAAAAACAUCUCCUAAAAUCAAUAUCAAACAUAUUUUAAAUAUGUUUUAAAAUGUAAUUUUGCAUAUAAUAUUUUAUAUUUUUAUUAUUAGUAUUUAUAUAAUUACUUUUAAAAUAGUUUUUAAAAAAUAAUUAAAAAUAAUUAAAAUAUUUUAUUUAAAAAUACCUUAUAAAAAACUUUGUCCCUUUUUCAUUAAAGAAUAGAAAAUUAUUCUAUAAACAUAGUAAACAAAGUGGUCUGAAUGCCCAGAUUGUCGCCCUAUUUUGGAAUUAUGAUGGGCGGCCUUUCUGUGGCAGCAGGAGGCUCAGUGGGCGGAAUGGAGCCCAUUUUGCAAGCAGGCCACAAAGUCGUUUGCUUUUCGUGAUUGUACUAGAAAUUUCUCUUGAUUUGAUGGCAAGAAAUCAUUGGUUUCAUUUCAAAUAUAUAAUCACGAGAAUAAGGUUUUGGAAAAUUAGACAUUUGUGAAGAUAUAAAUACAUAAAAUUUUAUCAGAAAUUGGUAGUUAAAAAAUGUUAUUAAAAAAAAGGAGGGGAAAAUAUUGAUGGAGUUGAAGGCGACAGAACCUGGCCUAAUUUCAUAAGUCUUCAAAUUCUAUGCAACUUGAGUGUCUCCAAAAUUUAGAAUUUAAAAAUUCGUCCCAAGCCUAACUUUUGUUUACUUAAUUAAUCAAACGUCUGCCGUGCUAUUAGACCAUCCAACCUCCAUCCUCCCUAUAAAUACCCUCAAAUCUUCAAACCAAGACCAUUCACAUUUUCACAUCUCCCCUCACUCCCCUCCUCUUCUCUUCUUCGUCUCGAUCCUCUCCCCAGCAUGAAGUCCCUAAAGCUCGUUAUUCUCAUGCUGGCCCUGCUCUUGGUCAUGGUUGCUAUACGCUCAGUCUCAUCAGCUAAAGAAGAAGACUUCAUGUUUGAUCUAGACCAGGAUGACAGCAUCGCUGCUGAAGCUGAAAAUUCUGAUCAACUUCCAUUACUUGAAAGCGAGCAGCCGAUAUCGCUUAGGGGGACUAGCCGCUUUCUGACGGAGGCGGCCCGGAUCAAGGUGACGUGCGACAAGUACCCUACAGUAUGCUUAGCCAAGGGAAGUGCAGGGAAGUACUGCUGCAAGAAGAAGUGUGUGAAUGUGAGGACGGACAGGCUCAACUGUGGGGCGUGUGGGAAGAAGUGUAGGUACUCUGAGAUUUGCUGCAAAGGUAAGUGCGUCAACCCUUCUUCAGACAGGAGGAAUUGUGGGGGCUGCGGCAAGAAGUGUCAGAAAGGGAGUCUCUGCGUGCAUGGGAUGUGCAGCUACUCGUAGAUUUCUGAGCAUUGUUGCUUUACAUGGUAAAAUUUCUAUAUUCACGUAACUAUGGCGAGCCAUCACCAUUUGAUGGGCUUGCAAAUCCGAGUUUUUUUUUUUUUUUUUUCUGAUUCUUCGUGAGGUCUUUACUGGUAUAGAUGACAACAAUAAGCCAGUUCACAGUACCUGAAAUCCAAGACACUUCUUCUCUACCGGACUGGCCGCUUCCUGCUCAUUACUGAGCAAGGAGAGAAGGAUUGCAGGAACUGUGGAUGGAGUGUGUAGUUACAAAUAAUAAUUGCAUGUAUACUUCAUAUGAUGGAAAGCGGAUCGUGUUGAUGAUUCGUUCAAUAAAAGGAACAUAUGGGAUAUGCUAUUAUCCUCCAUUGUUGAAGUAUGAUAUCUUGCUUUUGUUGGCUAUAAAAAAUUACUCAACAGAAAUCAGAGAUAAUAAUACAAAUUAAAAAGAUACAAUGCAAAUCUCUUAAUCUUCUUAAGAACAUAAAGAUUAAAUAAUCCACCAAUAGAGGUACAUAUGAUCAUAUCCACGAGCAUUCUAUUGUAAUAUAAAAAAUAUUAUAAAGAACAUGAUAAGUAUAAUGAUUAGAUUUCAAAAAUAUCUUACAUUCUUUUCCAAAAUAUCUUAUUUUUUUCAAUUAAACUAACGAUCCCCUCUUCCUCAUCUAAAAUAUUUAUAGAUAUUCUUAAUAAUUUUCUAUUUUAUAAAAGUUCCAUUAUGAUGAUAUAUGAAUUUAAAAUAUGCUUUUUUUUUAAUGAUAUUAUGAAUUCGUGACAUUUUUCAGUGCAAAACAAACGUACCCUUGACUUCUAUUCCCUUUCUAUGUAUGUGCGUAUAUCAUCCUCUAAAUAAUUGAGUGCAAUAUUUGUUACCGCUGAUAUAACCAGAAAAAUCUUCAGCCUAUUGUUUGUAUGGGACGUCCAAAUUAUAUGAAUGUGUAAACUGCAGAGAAAGAAAAUGAAUUUCUGUAUAUUUAUUCAUAACAUAAAUAUCUCUAUUUAUACAUGCUAUGCUAGUCUAUCUAAGGUAAGUCUCCUAUAUUUACAUCCUAUAAUCAAGCCUAUAAUCAAUACAUAAAUAAGGUAAGUCAACUAAUUGUUUCUAAUUCUGUAACACUCCCCCUCAAGCUGGAACAUAAAUGUUAAUCAUGCCCAGCUUGUUACAAAAAUAUUCAACCCGAGUUCCAUUUAACGCCUUUGUGAAAAUAUCUCCUAGUUGUUCUCUAGUCUUCACAUAACCUGUGAAAAUCAGAUUUUAUUGAAUCUUCUCACGAAUAAAGUGACAAUCUACUUCAAUAUGUUUAGUUCUUUCAUGAUAUACUGGAUUUGAGGCGAUAUGAAUAGUUGUUUGGUUGUCGCACCAAAGUUUUGCUGGCAUGGGAGUCUUUAUUCCAAUCUCAGUUAGAAGAUGAUACAACCACAUAAUUUCACACGUGGCUUGCACCAUGGCUCUGUAUUCUGAUUCUGCACUAGAGCGAGAUACCACAUUCUGCUUCUUGCUCUUCCAAGAUACAAAAUUCCCACCAACAAAGACACAAAAGCCCGUAGUGGAUCGUCCAUCAGCUUUGGAUCCAGCCCAAUCAACAUCUGUAAAACACUCAAUUUGAGCAUGUCCAUGAUUGUUGUACAACAUGCCUAGACCAGGAGCUCUAUUCAAAUAACAUAAAAUCUACUCCAAGGUUGCCCAAUGCUUCACUGUAGGUGCAAACAUAAACUAACUGACAAUACUGACUGAGUAAGCAAUGUCUGGGUGAGUCACUGUAAGGUAAUUCAAUUUCCCAACCAAUCUUUUAUAUCUUUCUGGAUUAUCAAAGGGAUCACCAUCAUCUUUCGUCAAAUGUACAUUAGGGAUCAUCGGUGUGCUACAUGGCUUGGCUUCCAUCUUUCCAGUUUCUGCAAGUUAGUCAAGAACAUAUUUCCUAUGUGACAAGAAGAUUCCCCUUUUGCUUCUUGAUACUUCUACUCCCAAGAAAUAUUUUAGCUCGCCCAAGUCCUUUGUGUGAAACUUGGAAUGCAUAAACAAUUUGAGAGAAGAAAUUCCUGCACAAUCAUUUCCUGUAAUGACAAUGUCAUCAACAUAAACAACGAGAAGAAUAAUACCAUUUGUUGACUGUCUAUAGAAGACUGAAUGAUCAACUUUGUUUUUGUUCUUCCCAAACUCUUGAAUCACCUCACUAAACUUGCCAAACCAAGCUCGGGGACCCUGCUUCAAUCCAUAGAGAGAUUUUUUGAGAUGACACACUUUCCCAUACUCUCCAUGAGCAACAAACCCAGGUGGUUACUCCAUAUAUAUUUCUUCCUGGAGAUCUCCGUGAAGGAAUGCAUUUUUUAUAUCCAACUGGUGCAAGGGCCAGUGCUGAGAAGCAGCAAUUGAUAUAAUCAGGCGGACUGAAGCAAGUCUAGCUACUAGAGAGAAAGUAUCAGAAUAGUCCGCCCUAUAAGUCUGAGCAUAGCCUUUAGCUACAAGUUUGGCUUUCAGUCGUGCCAAUGAGCCAUCAAGAUUAAUUUUUAUUGCAAAGACCCACUUACAUCCCACAGCGUUCUUUCCUAUUGGUAAAUCAACUAGAUUCCAUGUGUGAUUGACUUUUAGAGCUUGUAUCUCCUCAAGCAUUGCAUUAUACCAUCUAAGGUGAUUCAGGGCUUUCUUGACAAUUUUAGGAAUAGAGAUAGAAUCUAAAGAGGCAACAAAAGCCCUCAAGGAAGGAGACAAGUUAUCAUAAGAAACGAAAUUAGCAAUGGAAUAAACUGAUUUGCACUGACAUUUACCUUUAUGAAGACCAAUGGGGAGGUCAAGGUCACUGGGAGGAUCAGAUAACGAAGAAGUUGAUGCAGGACAUGUAUCUUUUGUCUCCUGACGCCUGGAGUAUUCCUGAACAAUUAGUGGCUUAGCUGGAGCAGGCAGUAAAUCAACAAUAGCGUGUGGUUGCUCAGAAGAAUCAGUGGGAGUACUUGGGGUGGUUACUUGAUAUAUGAGCCAAUUUUCACCCUUCCCAUCACUUUCUGAAUUUGGGGGUGAAGAAUAAAAAGGUGUAUCUUCUGAAAAUACCACAUCAGUCGAUACCACAUAGUUGUUGAGAUCAGGAGAAAAGCAUCAAUAACCUUUUUGAAGACGAGAAUACCUUAAAAACACACAUUUUAGGGCUUUGGGAUCUAGUUUAGUCAUAGAUGGCCUUACAUCUCGAACAUAGCAAAUGCUUCCAAAAAUUUGUGGUUCAACUGGAAAUAGAGGCUUCUUUGGAAACAAUAUACUGUAUGGGAUUUUAUCAUUGAGUACCGUAGAUGACAUGCGAUUAAUAAAAAAGCAAGCAAUAGAAAUUGCAUCAGCCCAAAACUGUUUAGGAACCUUCAUCUAAAACAAGAGUGCCCGGGUUGUUUCUAGUAAAUGUUUGUUCUUCCUCUCAGCAACUCCAUUUUGAGAAAGAGUAUCCACACAAGAGAACUGAUGAAGAAUCCCGUGUUGAGUCAUGUAAGUCUGAAAUGAGUUAGACAUAUAUUCUUUGCCAUUAUCACUUCUCAAUGUUCGUACAGAGACAUUAAACUGUGUUUUAAUCUCAGCACAAAACGCACAAAAAUGAGCGAAAACUUCUGAACGAUUCUUCAUAAAAUAAAUCCAAGUCGUUCAAGAAAAAUCAUCCACAAAUGUAACAAAAUAUCGAAAUCUAGUUUUAGAAGUAACAGGACAAGGUCCCCAAACAUCAGAGUGUACUAACUCAAAAAUAGAUUCAACCGUCUUAUUAACUCUUGGGCUUAACGAACUACGAUGAUGCUUUGCAAAAUGACAUGAUUCAUAAUUAAAAAAAGGUAAACUAUGAAACUGAGGACAUAACUUUUUUAACACUGGUAAAGAGGGAUGUCCCAAACAACAAUGAGCUUCAACUGAAAAAGCAAUGUUAGAACAAGCAACCGACCGAGGUACCCACGCAUCAAGAAUGUAAAGACCAUCAGAUACAUGUCCUUUACCAAUAAUCUGCUUCGUCAUAAGAUCCUGAAAAAGGCAAUGGUUAGGAAAGAAUGAGAUACAACAGUUCAGAUCUUUGGUAAGUUUACUGACAUAUAUCAAGUUAAAGGCAAGCUUAGGUAAACUUAGAACAGAUGACAAAGUGAUAGAGGAUGUUGGUUUGAUAGUCCCAGAACCCACAACAUUAGAGGUUGACCCAUCAGCAAUGGUAACAGGAAAAUGGGCUAAAUGUGAUCGAAAACUAGAGAAUGUUUUAGGAUUACGUGUCAUGUGAUCGAUGACACCUGAAUCAAUUACCCAUUUGUUUGAGGGGGAGAUAAGACAUGUUUUACCUGUCUCAGCAAGAGCAGUAACCAGAGUAGAUUUCUUCAAUGAUUCUUGAUACUGAGAGAAUUUUGCAAACUCAUCGACUGAGACCAUGACGGUCUUAUCAGAAGAACUUGAAAAAGUACUAGAGGUGGUGGCAACAUUAGCAAUCUGAUUUCUUUUAUUACGAUUUUGUAAUUUCUUGCAGUAUUUCUUGGCAUGGCCCAGCUCAUGAUAGUAGUAGCAAACAAUGUUGCUUGAAUCAUUGUUAUAGCUAUCAGAAGUCUUACUUCCUCCCCUGUUGUUUGAUUUUUUCCCAGUAUCAUUGCUUCCUCCUUUGGCAACAAGAACAUUAUUAGUCUGCUAGAUAGAUGAGGUACCUUCGGUACGCAAAAUUCUACUAAACACUUCUUGAAGUGAACCAAUCUCAGAAGUGGAAAGAAUUUGAGAUUUAGUAGUCUCAAAUUCAGAUGGAAGGCCAGCUAAAAAACUCAUUACCGGCCAUUUUUUUCUCUUUGAGUUUGUAGCACCUUAAUAUCAGUACUGAAAGGUAAAAGUACAAUUAACUCCUCAUAAGUCUUCUUAAAAUCCAUAAAAUAAGUUGUGAGAGAUUUGGCCUCCUUUUCAGCAUGACAAAGGCUUUGCACACAUCAUACAUUCGGGACAAAUUCCCUUUGCCAGAAUAUAAGAACUCCAGAUAAUCCAUUAAUUCUUUAACAAACUCACAAUAAUUAAGUAGUCCAACAAUUUCACUAUCAAUAGAAUUCCUUAUUUGUAGGAAUAAACGUGCAUCAUCCCUUAUCCAAGUCUUUCUAGUUUCAUCAUAAAGGGUUUCCAUGGUCAGGUGAUCAUCUUUUUCAACACUACGCAAAUAAACUCUAAUUGUCUUGCUCCAUUCCAAAUAAUUAGUGUCAUUCAAUUUAUGAUCAGUUAUUUUAGAUAGUGUUAGAACUAUUUCAGUUAUAGAAGCUUUGUUGUCAGUCAUUUUAACUGAUAUUCAAUCACCACAAUAAAUAUAAUUCCAGCAGCAAACCAGAAAUAGUUGAUACCCAAAAUGAAUUUCCACAAGGAAUCAUAAAACAAAUCAAAGGGACAGAACCUGCCAAGGAUAUGUUCCUCUCAACAGUUGAUCAAACGCCCGAGUGCCACCUGAGAAUGGCCGAAAAGAGAUGGGAAAUGUCGGAAAGUCAAAUCGAUGAAGAAACAACAGUCUCACGCGCUUCCACGCGUUGGUGCGUGAAAGUUGCUCCCGAAGCUUUGAUCGGCUCGUGAGACUCACGCGCGGCUCAUCUGGCCACCGAACUUUGUGCAUUGGUCGAAAACAAGAAUGUGUUCCUCCCUAGGUCAACGAUGACGCAAUCCAAACUCAAAAAACGUAAUAGGUUACUAUUCCAGACUAUUAGGAACAAAACCCAAAAAAAUCCUUUGAGUCAAACGUGGCUUUGAUACCAUGUAAAUUGCAAAGAAAGAAAAUGAAUUUCUGUAUAUUUAUUCAUAACAUAAACAUCUCUAUUUAUACAUGCUAUGCUAGUCUAUCUAAGGUAAGUCUCCUAUAUUUACAUCCUAUAAUCAAGCCUAUAAUCAAUACAUAAAUAAGGUAAGUCAACUUAUUGAUUCUGAUUCUGUAACAUAAUGGAACUGUAGCUCCGUUGGCUUUUAGUUGAUGCAGAUUGCCAGUACUAUUUGUUGCAAUUAGAAUUACCUGGAAAUUGAGAACACUAUUGUAAAAUACCAAAAUUACAUGAAUAUUGGUUAAAUAAUAAAAACAUACAUUAUUAUUGUAUGCUUAGUUUAUGUUGUUUGUGUGCAUAUCAUUCUCUUUAAACAAAUUGUCGGGUUACAACAAUAUGUUCGAAAAUAGAUCAUCCAAACGAGAGUUCUUAAGAUAAGUUAAUUGUGGAAUGUGAUGACAAAUAUUAUGAAAGAUUUUAUUUGCUCUCACUAAAUAUGAAUUGACUUUUGAUAAGAUGAUCAAAACUUGAUUCAAUGAUUAGUAUUGUAUAAUAUACUAAUAUAUUAUUAUCUUAUUUGUUAAAACUCACGUGCAACCCUAUAGAAGCUGGCUCAUGAGACAAAAUCAUGACUAAGCUUUAAUACAAAUGUAACUAUGUAAGUAACUAGGGACAUUACCCAUAAGAAGAAAUUAGCAUGAUAUACAUAAUUGUUCAUUACCAAGGUUUUAAGCAUGUGGGUGAUCACAUAAUAAGUUAUAAAUAAAGUAAAGUCGUGUCACUCACAUCAUAUAAUUAGCUUAACUAUCACAUCACAUAAUUAGUUUAACAACUGUCAUGUCUUUAUUCCAUUGGACAUUCUCUUCUCCAAAGAGAAGUACUCCGAUACGUCUUCCUUUAAUUUUCUCUCUUCCUAAUGAUGAAAUUUGAAAUCAUGUUGAUAAAAAUAGAAAGGAAGAAAGGGAUUCUUCUAUCUAUAAUCCAGCUAGAAUAUUGAAGUAAAAGUUUUGUGCAAUGUGGGUCAAAUUGAGCAUGUGCUAGAGGUGAUACACGUUAUAUACCCCCAUGAAUUCAAGUUUAAGUUUCCCUUCCAACCAAUUUCAUUAAGAAUAGUUAUAUUCAAGUAGUGGAAUAUUGGAAGUACAUUCAAUAUUUUCAAAUAUUAUAUAAUUAAACAUGUGAAAUAUUAUUAAAAUAUGCACUAGGUAGUGGCAUAUGUGCAUUUCAAUUUUUCAAUAAUAUUUAUAUGAUUGAUAUAUGCUAUGCUCAUUAUCGUGAUUGCUUAGUAAAACAUGUUAUAACUAAAAAUAAUUUACAGAUCAAAAUUACUGGCUACACGUGGAUGUAGAAACACUAAGCUUCUAAUUUUCUUUCUUUGGAAUCAAUCGGUUUCUUCUUAUGGGCCAGAUAUUCAGUGUUUCGUGAGUAGUCUGAUGAAUUGAAGCUACCGAGAAAAAACAAAACGUUUUUCCCACAUAUUUCAGUAUAAAAACCCAUCUCCUAUCAAUAUUGCUUCACCACUUCCUCUUCCCUACCCAGUUCUUCACAGCUUCUCUUCAUUCAUGGCCAUGAAGCUGCUAAAACUCCUCUUCAUACUCUCCAUCACCACCUCCAUUGUUUCUGCAGCAUCGAGUGCCAAUGAAAACAACGAAUGCAACUCCAUUGUUGGAGCAGCAUGGAGUGCUGAUGAAAACAAGGAAGACUCAGCUGUGGAAAGCCACUUAGCAUUGGAGAAAAUAUAUAUAUUUAAAUAAAUUUAAAUAUUUUUGUAAGAAUUAGUCAUAAUUUUCAUUGUUUAAAUAAAUUUAACUCUCUUAUGUUUUUUAACUCUCUAUGUAACGCUUAGACAACUCAAGGUUAUAUAAGUACAAAUCUAUAAUUAUUAUAUAUAUGCUUACAUUUACGGCAGACUCAAGCUAUCUAUGCAUGCAACUAGGAAUGGCAACGAGGCGGGUUCGGGACGGGUCGCCCCCAUCCCAACCCCAUCCCGUUUAGCAAAACCAAUUCUCAUCCCCGUCCCGUUUAAAAAAUUAAACGGGGCGGGGCGGGUAUGGGAAUUUAGCCUUUUUUUUUUUUUAAUUACUUUAAAAAAUUUUAAUUACAUUAAAAUAAAUAUAUUUUAUAAAUAAUAAAAUUAUUAUAUUUUUUAUAACUUAUUUUAUUAAAAUUUUUUAUUGUUAUCUAUAUAUUAAAAAUAGUAAAAUUAAAUUUUAAAUUAAAUUAAUUUUAAAAUUAAAUUAAAUUAAAAUUUAAAAUUAAUUUUAUAUGUAAACGGGGCAGGGCGGGGCGGGAUGAGGCAAUACCCGAACCUGCCCCGAACACGUCCCGGGUUUUAAAAAAAAAUCUCAUACCCGUCCCAAACCCGUUUAAUAAAUUUUAACCCCGUCCCAUUAAGGGCGGGGCGGGGCAGGCACCCGAAAAAACCUGCCCUGUUGCCAUCCCUACAUGCAACCGUCCAACACCAAAAUAUCUAACCACUGCCACGAAUGUUUGAUAGUGAUUAUGCAUAUUUGCACGUCCAUACCCAGACUAAAUCAAGGAUUUUGCUGGUUAUAUCAGUGAGAAAUGUACUGAAUUGAAUUUUAUUAUCAAUGGAGAUGAGGUAUGAGCACCUUAAUAGGCAUGAUACAUAGUGAUCAAUCCUGUUAUUCACCUAAUAUGAGAAGUAAUACAAGUCAUUUAUGAAUCAAUAAAACACUCAAGCUUAGUAGCAGGUUUUGUAGCGAUAAAAUCAUGCAUAACUGCACAUCCCGUAAAGACAUGCCUCCCAGUUCUUGCACUUCUUGCCGCAACUACCGCAGUUCAAUGGAUCGACAUAGGGGUUCACGCAAUGCCCGCUGCAGCAUAUAUAGUUGUGUCUGCACUUGCGGCGGCACUCUCCACAGUUAUUUGGAUCCUUCGUUAGGUUUACGCAUUUCUUCUGACAGCAAUCUGGACCAGGGGUGGACUUCCGACGACAAAUCUGUGGAAACUUAUCACAGAUCAAGUACUUGUUCUGCAACAUGAAGUCACUAGUCCCAUUUGAAGAAGUUGUUUCUUCGCCUUCAGGCAAUGCUAAGUGGCUUUCCACAGCUGAGUCUUCCUUGUUUUCAUCAGCACUCCAUGCUGCUCCAAGAAUGGAGUUGUCUUCGUUGUUUUCAUUGGCACUCGAUGCUGCAGAAACAAUGGAGGUGGUGAUGGAGAGUAUGAAGAGGAGUUUUAGCAGCUUCAUGGCCAUGAAUGAAGAGAAGCUGUGAAGAGCUGGGUAGGGAAGAGGAA